RNAcentral lists this long non-coding RNA (58773 nucleotides) under Sorghum bicolor (sorghum). Its description in RNAcentral is "long non-coding RNA (SBIC_LNC001127)". The stretch from base 2911 to 3180 matches the Rfam family "MIR821 microRNA precursor family". Lineage: Eukaryota; Viridiplantae; Streptophyta; Magnoliopsida; Poales; Poaceae. The record is from RNAcentral.
CCACAUUACUUUUUUAAGCCUAUGCACAUACAAUCAAUAUAGUCAGCCUACAUGCUGUAUCUCAUUACCAUCGUAAUAAUUAAUUAAUACAAUUAUUGAAGUUACAUACCCACAACAUUGCCACAAAUAUAAAUAUAAUAAGUUCAUAGAAUAUCACUAUAGAGCAUGAUGUGCAGGUCGUCCUAGUUACAUCAUUCGGCUACAAGCACAUCAGAACUAAAUUGUAAAAAAAAACAUGCAUUUAAUCAAACGCAUCAAGUGUAGGUUGCUGCAUAAUCAGUUCUGUCACAACUCUUUCUUGCAGGUUGCUGCAUAAUCAGUUCCUGUCACAACUCUUUCUUUUGCCUUUGUGUGCUACUCUCUGACAGCCAUUGCAACAUGGAAAACAAAAGCAAAUACUGGAGUGUCAAUGUCAAUAAAAAAAAUGCAUUGUUCAUCACAUAGUUUUCACUACCUUGCUCAUGUCUUAAAGACAACUAGUAGCAGGCGCGUGCCCUCGCGCGCGUUAUCAGUUCAUAAUGCUGAAUUAUGAACAAUCUCAUACAAUUUAUUAGGAUAGAAAUUAGUUAUAAGUUUAGUAAUCAAUGCAUAGACAUGCAUGAAUCUGUAUAUAUUAUAAGGUUUAUUAUUUCGAAUAUUACAUGCUAUUCAUUGGUUGCAUAACUUUACAUAAAAGGUUACAGGUUGCACAGAUAGCAUAUGGUCUGGUGACAACACAUCUACGACUUAAGGUGCCAGUGAUUAUGUUUGCAAGCAAAGUAAAAAAAACUAAAGGAUGUAAGAUUAAUGUCAAUAUAAUAAAGGGAUGCCAACUAAUAAAGAUGGAAUUAAUUUGUCCACACAACUAAGAUCACUCAAAUCAUAAAACUGAUAUCCACGUGUAUUGAAAUCACAUCAAUAACCUAGAGAAGGAAGAUACAAUAUGGCACUCAAAAUCUAGAAACUUGAAAUCCAUGAAUAUGGAGGUGAUAUCCAUGGAUAUGCAUUGUAACUAAAACUUCUGAAUUUUGAACCAAAGCAAAAAUAGUAGGAAGAAGUGUAAAUAGUAGGAAGAAAAAAACAUCAUAGAAAUCUGAAAUGCUAGUUAGGAGUCUAUAUUUUAAUAUAAACAAUUAGCCUUCCCUUAAUCACUAAAACAGCCGUAUAGUAGGAAGAAGUGUAAAUAGUAGGAAGAAAAAAAACAUUUCAUAGAAAUCUGAAAUGUUAGCUAGGAGUCUCUAUUUUAAUAUAAACAAUUAGCCUUCCCUUAAUCACUAAUUCAAAAGGCUGGUUACUCUAAACUGGCCUCUGAAAACAUGGUCAAUGAAGAAUAUGUGGUUACUCUAAGUGAGAUUUUCCCAAUAAAAUGUUUGCAGAGGAAUCGAAAGUACCAAGAUAACCUUUUAGGCCAUCUACAUUUUAUCAGGAUCGACAUGACCAAAAAGGUGUAACCUUUUAGGCACUAUAAAUUGAUCCUUAAUAGUUUAAUUGGUCAAAAAAUAUAGGUUGCACAUAUUUGAUCAGAUAGUGGGGCUACCAACUUUGUAAAAUCUUCAAACACAUACCCCCAAAAAAAUCUAAACACAUGUUUGGUUGCCUGACCUUCAUCUGUGACAUAGUGGCAUGUGAAUUAUAGGUACGUUAUGAAAUAAUCCAACUAUCAAUUGAUCAAGGGGGAAUAUCAAUCACCUCGGAUUAGAAGACGUAUAAGGAGAAAUCUAGUUGAGGGCCUGCGGCUCUGGCCAUUCCAGCAACUGGACACUUGGUAACCUUCAAAACAUGAAAGGAAAACAUAGUACACGCUUGGUAACUUUUAGCACAAAUUAGAAUGGGAACAUGCAGUGUACUGAUUCAGCUGCCAAAUCUAAACUCAGCGCACUGAUGAACUGUUUUUAGGAACAAGAAGAUUCAACUGGGACGAGAUUUAUGGGGAACAAGCGGAUCCCAUGGGUGAACCAACGGAUCCAACCAUGGAGACCCCAGAUCGACCCAGGAAAGAACGGCAACAAGCACAUACCGACGGUCGAGUUCUGCAUCGGCAAGAUAAGGAGAGGAGGAGCAAGGGAGAGAGGCCGCAUAGUCACCGUACUGGGAUUUGGCCUGUCCGACAUGGUACCUAAGGUUUCGCUUGGACGCUGCGCCGCGGCCUUGCGCCUGCCGCUGCAGCCUCACGCCCGCUAUCAUCGCGGGGGGCAGGGGAGAGAGGAGGAGGUGGUGGUGGAGGAGGAGGAGGGCGGCUGUGGUGCGCCACUCGCUCCCGUCAUCGUCGUCGACUCGUCGUCGUCCUUCGGGAGGAGGGAGGGAGCGAAGAGAGAGGAGGAGGAGAGUUGGGGAAAGGAGGCCGGCGAGAGAGAGAGAGAGAGAGACUGGGAGAGUGUGGAGGAAGCUAGGGUUUGGAGAUUGAUAUUUAUUGAUGUUAGCAUUGUUCUCCACCGUCUGAUCAGAUCGGUUGGCUGUGAACUAUUGGGCCCAUUCGUGGGCCUUUGGAUUUUCACUCUCAAAUGCAUAUUUGGGCCUUUGCAUUUAUCGACUGUAUCAUUUUCUGACCCAACAACUAAUAUAUAUGAUGCUUUUUAAUUUUAAUUCAAGAACAAAUUUGGUUUUAGGCUAAUUUUAUGGUUUUAACAUAAAAAGUGAUAAAUACCAAAGUUGUUCAACUCAUCAUGAUCUACAACUUUGAUGUUGACCAUUUCUUCAUUUGAGAAAAUUUGAACCUUUGAAAUUUAAAUUUUUUCAAAAACAACGAGUUCGAACAAAAAUUUGAGACCCAAAAUGAUUUUAAUAUAAAAAGUCAUGAAUACCAAAGUUUUUCAACUCAUCAAUAUCUACAACUUUUAUUUAGGCCAUAUUGUCAUUUGACAAAAUUUAAACCUUUGAAAUUUGAAAUUUCUCAAAAACAAUGAGUUCGAACCCAAAUUUGAGAUGCAAUAUGACUUCAACAUGAAAAGUGAUGAAUACCAAAGUUGCUCAACUCAUCAAGAUCUACAACUUUUAUUUUGACCAUUUCUUCAUUUGACAAAAUCUUAGUAUACAUUGUUCACUAAUCUUACACAUGUCUCAUAGUUUAUUAAACCACAUAAGUGAUGUGUCACAUUUGUGAACAAUGUUAUUACCACUUUAUCAUAUGAAGAAAUGACCAAUACAAAAGUUGUUGAUCUUGAUGAGUUAUUCAACUUUGGUAUUCAUCACUUUUCCUCAUUCGAUAAUUUGGGGUAUCAAAAUCUUGUUCGAAGUUGUCUCUUUUUUUUAAAUUCAAAUUUUGAAUUGCUCAAUAUUGGAAUAUGUAAAGAUUGACAAAAAAAUCUCAAUAAAUUGAUAGAGAAUGAUUUUAGAAAAUUUUACAAAAAAAAAUCAUCUCAUUUGGAGUUAGUAUGAGGGAGAAAAACUCCAAAUGUGAUGAUAUUUUUCUAUAAAAUUUUCUAAAAUCAGGAUCUACAACUUUAAUAUUGAUCAUUUCUUCAUUUGACAAAAUUUGAACAUUUAAAAUUUGAAAUUUUUCAAAAACGACGAUUUCAAACCAAAAUUUGAAACCCAAAAUUAUUUCAACUAAAAAAGUGAUGAAUACCAAAGUUGUUCAACUCAUCAAGAUCUACAACUUUGAUGUUGACCAUUUCUUAAUUUGACAAAAUAUGAACCUUUGAAAUUUGAAAUCUUUGAAAAACGAUGAGGUCAAACCAAAAUUUGAGGCUCAAAAUGAUUUCAACAUAGAACGUGAUGAAUACCAAAGUUGUUCAACUCAUCAAAAUGUACAACUUUUAUUUAGGCCAUAUUGUCAUUUGACACAAUUUGAGGCUUUGCAAUAUGAAUUUUUUGAAAAAUGAUGAGUUUAAACCAAAAUUAGAGACUUAAAAUGACUUCAACAUAAAAAGUGAUGAAAACCAAAGUUGCUCAAAUCAUCAAGAUCUACAAAUUUGUUGUUGACCAUUUAUUAAUUUGACAAAAUUUGAAUGUUUGAAGUUUGAAAUUUUUCAAAAAUGACAAGUUUGAACCAAAAUUUGAGACCCAAAAUGAUUUCAACAUAAAAAGUGAUGAAUACCAAAGUUGUUCAAGUCAUCAAGAUCUACAAAUUUGAUUUUGACCAUUUCUUCAUUUGACAAAAUUCAAAUAUAGGAAAAACAACUAGAUGAACCAUGGCACCCACUUGAUUAGGUGGCAGCUUUUCUCAAAAAAAAGAUUAGGUCGUAGUUUGCCAAGUGGACCCAUAUUGCCACCUCGGAUUGUAAUGCACAAAAAAAUUCAAUAAAAUAUUUUAUGACUUAUCAUAUUUGUCACAAUAUACCAUUUUCUAUAUGACAAUAGCAAAUUGAUUGUUGUGACAUGAGAAAUAAAGUCACAAAAUGUUAUUCUACUAGCACUAAGACAUUUUUUAUGACAAAAACUAACCAAAGUCACUAAGUCUAGCUGUCUCCACAAAAAAAGUCAUAAAUUGGUCAAAGUUGUGACUAUUUUGUCCAAUGUCAUGGGAAAAAAGUCAUAAGAUGACUGAUUUCUUGUAGUGUCUUUUGUAAUUUUCUUAAACUCUUUUGUAAUUUUCUUAAACACUUUUGUAAUUUUCUUAAUGUGUACCAUACUAGCAUGAAGAAUGAUGUAAUCUUGUUUUCAGAUGAAUAUAUAUAAGUCAUGAUUCCUUUAUAUAUGUUUUUAGAUGAAUGUACAAAAUAUCAUCUUCAUAUAAUUGCGAAAUGUCCGUAUAACUAUAUCUUCGUCAUAGCUUCCAAUGUCGGUCGAGCGUGCUGAAGAAUGGCACGAGCCAAGCCCGGCAUCGAGUUAUAAGGAAGGCUCGUCGUCAUCAAACGAUAGCACCUCGUACGAGGAGGAGGUGCUAACACCAAGGCCAAAGAAGAAAGGUAGAACAGAGGAAGAACAUGAUCUGACCUAUAUGCCAGAAAAGAUGGGGCCUUCAUCACGUAAUUCACACACCACGGCAUAGAGUGAAGAGGGCCGCGUAAGUAAACAAGUAAUACAAUUGUUGAUAUUUGUUAAUGCCAUCAGGAAAUGAUCCGCAAGCGCACGGAUAUCGGUGGGCACUUCACCCGGGAGGUUAUCCAGAGUAUCGUAUUUAUAUUUUUACCAUUGGGAGAAAGCGUGCAUCUGACUAACCAAAUCUAUUGCUACUACCCUUUAGGCUACAAAGAAUGUGACUCGAUGUGAGAUAUGUAUAGAGAAGACUACAACCGUAAUCUCGUUCUAACCUUGGUAAGGAUGAUCUACUGUUCUAUUGGGGAGGCUCACAGAAUCUAGACACCACAGAGGAUGUUCAACCCGCACCUACAAACCCUAUCAAUCCUACUAACGGGAUAUGUGCUACAAAGGUAACUCGGAAAUGUCACGUUCCUCGCUACUACCACGGUCCAACUAGUCAGGGUAUAUCUAUGAGUAUCCUAGCCCAAACACCACGUUUACGCUAGAGAUGAUUACUCUAAACUCUACGCGAAGGGAUCAAAGUAAACUCAUAAACCAAAGAACAAUAAAACAAGAACUUACUAGAAUUUAGAAGUCAAAAUACUGAAGAAUCCUAGGAGCAAGCUCGGGUUAGAAGACUUGAUCCCGCAGGUACAACCUCGGAGUAGGCACCGACAGGCCGGGCUUCCUCCGAUCUACACCUCCACUCUAUCUUUCUCAAUCUAGUAGAACUAGUCUACUCUCACAUUGGAUGCUAAGCCCUAAGUCUAUGUAGAGGAAAGGUUAUCCUUCGAGGGCACCUCUCAACUCUAUAAUGAACUUGUUCCCCUCCAGGGGCCAGGGGGUCUGCUUAUAUAGUCCCCUCAGGUGAACGUGAGCCGUCGGAUCAAACUGACAUUGAUUGAAAGGUUAUCCUUGAUCCUUUAGGUCGGUGGUGAGUAAUCCGCGAGACGGGACCUGAUUGGUCUCUGCAACAGGGCGGGCGCCCAAGGGGGGAGGGCGAGCGCCCUGCCUCCGGGCCCGAUCGCCUUCCCGUGGCUUCUGGAGUCUUCUAGAUGAUAGAAAAUUGCGCGGCACGUUAAUAUCUCUAUGUAAACCCGACGUGUGGGCCUUUCUUCCAUAUUUCCUGAUAACCCCCUACAGAAAUAGACAAACACCAAAACUCGUGGAAUUCAGUCAGAUAAAACCCUAAGUCUGGGUGUUGGUUGCAUUUGGAUCCUUUUCUUUAUUUAUUUAUUUGAUGAUUAUAUUUGGUACUUAAGGACCGUCAACAACUCCCCCAAGCUUACCUCUUGGUCGUCCCUGAGCAAGGAUGGACUCAAGAGUUUCCACAGUGGUUUCAUGCCUUAAAAGUAAGAUCUCACCUCUGAGUUAGAGUAAACUGUUAAGACUUAAAACUUACUCAUUUUACCUUUCUCCAUGGGGCUUGCAACCGUCACUUGUGUCUUGAGCGGUUAAAAGAUAGAACGGUCAAGUCAAGUGCCAUGUCUCUUGUUCUUUGAUCAGCUGUAGCUCUGGAGUUUUUGCAGAUUUUCAAAUAAAACUCAUAGAUUCCUUGUAUGACUCUCUCAAAUCUCUUUUUUGUGGCAUUUCUGGAUCCUUUCGAAGGCAGUGAUGAUAUAUAACUUCUCUCAAAGUAUUUAGUAUUUUUGGUAUGAGGCAUAGUGAUAUUGCCUUCUCUCUCACCCUACUCUAAUAACGUUUUGACAUCUGGAGCUCAUAGGUGGGAGAUAGAUAAUACAUACUUACAAGACACUUAUUGCAUAGUCAAACCAUGGAUCCAGAGAAACAAGUCAAUAAGUCAAAUCAAGAUGUGCAUGUGUGGCGAGUGAAUGGUGUAUGGUGAUGAUGGUGAUAACAAUGGUGAAUUUUAAUUCUACUUUUGCUCUUUUGAGGGGAUACAUACCUUUCUUGCACUUUGAAGCAUUUUGAGGAGAAUGAGAUGCUCUAUAUUUUCUUUUUCUUUUCUCUCAGGUGGGUGUCUUGUACCCCUAAUUCUACUAUCGGACACUUAUCCAUUUUUACCUCUCGUCUCACUUUUUCUUUUCUUCGAGGUUCCGCGCACUUGCCCCUUUUUAUUUCCUCGUAUUCUUUCUCUUUUUUUUUCUUUCUUUUUUUCUCUAUUUUAGAGCAGUCAUCUCCUGAAAUAUUAUAGCAAGUGGUAGUAACCAAGAUAACUCGAGCAUUUAUUUCACAGGGAAAAACAGAAAUAGGAGAAUGUUUUUAGCUAUUCUCUCCUGGAUUAGGAGUAGAAUAAUUUUAGGUGAAUCUGGAGAUGGAAUUGAGUGGAUGUAUGUGGAUGUGUACUUCCAGAGUAGAAGUAGCAUGUAUGAGUGAACGUGCAAGUGAAUCUUGAUUUUAACCGCAUGACAAGCUCUUAAGGGUCUACACAGCUUGACCACACUCAAUGCUCAUAAGCAGUAAAAAGUAAAUGUGUGGCUGAAAGUCUACCAAGCAUGUAUAUAUAGCUGUGGUAGGAAUUUAAACUCUCAUCAUACAGGAACUCAUCAUGUGUUAUUUUAAAGAUUUUCAAAGAUAAAAUUCUCUAGAAUUCUAGCAUCUCUAAGGACAAAUAAACAGCAGCUCAACCUUCUCAUAUCACAUCCGUUAACGACUUAGUGUAAUACCCGAUUUUAAGGACAAAAUCAGAUACACACCAUAUGUGAGUUUUAGAAGUCAAAUCUCACAUAUAGCUACAAAUAAGAGGUAAUAUCAAAAGACAAUGCAUAAAUAUAUAACAUACUUAGUAUAAAAGAGAUAACCUUGAUAGCAAACAGCGGAUAGACAAUUCCGAACUUUGGGUAUUAGCUUCUCUCUACAAGAUCCAACUGACUGGUUGAUCACAAGCCUAAACAUCUCCUGAGGUUUGGGGGAAAUAGCAAGAGUGAGUCCAUGUCGAACUCCACAAUUAUAGCAACUAGAUUGUAUAGCUCCCACAAUCUCAUGAUCAAUGUGACAUAAAUAAUGUAGAGCAUUAAACAAUAAAUAAUUAGUAUUUUAACACAACAAGAAUCAUCAUCAUCGAUGCAAGAAUCCCCAAGGCCGCUCUUAACCAUGAGCACGGCUAGUAUACCAGUUUUUAACACUCUACAGAGGUUGUACAUCUUUACCCAUGAGUCAUGAUUUACCCUUUCGCCCGAGGUGAUCAGCCCCUUAACCCACUUCCAAGGAAGGUCGGCAGGGAUCACUAUGAAGCCUUUCAAAAGUUCGUCUAACCUGUUAGGGCCGCAAGGUUUCCUUUGCGCGCAGAUAUAGAGCCCCCCUUCCGAUGGCACAACGACUCGCAGCCUAUACACAUACAGACAGAGGCCACACUAUACCCAAAACGGUUCAGCCCCUCCGCCCUUUCGGGUAACCUCUAACAAGCUAGAAAAGGUCUUCAUACGGAGCUAAAGCCAGAGCCAUUAUAGCCCUCAUGGUUGCACUGUUGUCCCAGUUAUCACUUACAGAUAAAUCAUCAAGUGGCUAAAAAGUCAUUUUUACCAUUUAUUACUUAACAUUAAUCUAGUCAUAGGAUCAUGUUCACAGAAAUAAAACCCAAAUGCUAUACUUGCCUUAAUCCAAAUGCUCUUGUUGAUCUUGCUUGUUGUCCAAGGCUCUGAUCUUGAUCACUAAAGUACUGUUCUCCGUCUAAACUCGAUCAUCGAUCACACAAACAAUCGAAGAAAACAUACACGAAGCAAACAAGGCUACAAUUAGAACAGUACACCAAACAUAUAAAAACAGUAUGAAAAGUUUAUAAAAUGAUUCUACGCAUCGCUACGAUCUCACAGACAUAAAGAUCACGAAAAUCAGAGUUAAAACGUAGAAGUUAUGAAUUUUCUAAGAUUUUGGAUAGAAAAGUAAUUAAUUAAUUGAGGUCAUGAAAUUUAAAAGUUUCAAACUGAGAAAACCAUUUUUCUAACAUGUAGAGCUCAUGAAAACAAACCUAACGCAUUCUGAAUGGGUCAAAUCAGAGUUAGAAUGAAUAUUUUAUGGCCAAAAUAAAUCCAGUGGCAAACUUGUAAUUACAGAAAGCGUAUUUUCAGAGUAAAUCCGGUGCUUUUCCGUUUUCUCAAAGAGAAAGCACAUUUUUGAAAUCCGCUUUGGACUGCUGGUUUAUUUGGUAAAAGCUCAGGGGCUCUUUAACAAAAGUGCGAAUGAAGGGGUACGUUCUAAUCUGGAUCGUUGAUCUUGAAUCGGACGACUGAGACUCAAUCUAGGGAAGAACAGGGUGGCUGCCGGCAACGCACAGGAGCCUCACGGUGGCUCCAUGGACGAAAGUUCGCCGGCGCUCGUGGAGAAGGCACUAGGAACCAUGGUGUUGAUGCAAAAGCUGAAUUUGCUAACACAAAGGGCUAAUACCCGAUUCAAACGUUAAGGCGUGCCAGCCGAUUUGACCUUACUAUCGGCAAAUGUGAUAACUCGAAUACUUUGGUCCUGACAACAGCGAUGCGCCGGAUGCCACGGCCAAGAGGUAUUCACGCGGAACUCGAGAAUACGCCGAGCUUAAGUCGACGAAUUCCUAAGAACUCGUAAUGAAAAGAAAAAUAUGACGAAGUCGUCGAAAAGGUAGAUACCGGAAUAUGAGUAAAACUUGUGUUUGAUUGAUUAUUAGAUGUCUCGAUUACAAGGCCCUAGGGUCUAUAUUUAUACCCUGCUCAAAGAGCUACAACCAGACACGACUAGAACUCAAAUUCCAAAUUAAACACAAUCCGUACACAAAACGAUUAAAAUAACUAAGGAAAACAUAAAACUAUCCUCCCGUGACAAACUAGGACACCACUACAGACCAAUCGGCAACCUUGAAGCCUUCCUUCCGCAUCAUCGGCAGAUUCUCCAUCGUAGCCAUCAACAAAGGUUAAUGCUGGCUAUCGGCAUAAACACAUCACCAUCCAUGGACUUAGCCAUAUUCAGCUGUCUCCUCAUCGGCAACCGCCCUUAUCGGCAACUCUUCUGUAGACCAGUGACCAUUACCCUGUCUUGCCGAUCCACACUCUACCGAUCCUGGAUACGUGUCCAAAAACGGUGUCAACACAUGCCCCCCAAUUUCAGAGUAUGAAAUCAUUAAUGCUCUGAAAUUCUCUGCAGUAAUGAUGCCUUUUCGUAAUUAAUUCUCCCAAUUUGGUAACCGACAGCUUCAAUCUGAACAACCCUGGUCCAAUCCCUCCACAGACUCCUCGAAAUUCUCAACCUCCCAAACGGACAUCUCCACUUUAGUCGCCCAUCGGCAAUAUUACCGUUACACAGACCUGCCGAUAGACUGACCAGGACACCCUGUACAGCGAAGUAUCUUAUCCCCCCAAACAGAUAUCUCCACUUUAUUCGUCCAUCGGCAAUAUUACCGUUACAAGACGCUGCCGAUAGACCGACCAGGAAAUCUCGAAUAGUAAAAUAUCUCCAGAUCACGACCGUUUCCUGUCAAAUCACCUGCGCAAUUCCUUGAUUACCGUGCAAACAGUUACCAUAUCCUCCUGAGUAUACUCGGAUUUCACGGAUACGGCGAACUGAUAAGUCAGAUUUACCCUUGCCCAUUUUGUCCUAUAAAUAGUUCCUUCUCGGGUACUCCUUCUCCAUCCCAUCAUUCUACAGCCAAAACUCCACUUUCCUGGCGGCGGCGCUUGUUCAAGAGCUCCAAGAGCUCAACGAAGCCCUUUCUUCACCAACAUCAAAGUCUUCGAUCCCCCUAUUUGCGAGGAGAUGGCCAUCAACUUCGCUGUUCCCGAGGUCAGUUCACCACCCUUCUUCUUGUACUUUUGCCAUAUCUCUGUUCAUCCGCAAUUUAUUUUACUGAACAUUCUUUUUUUUCUUUUGUUCUUCUCUUUACCUUCAAAACUAUUAGGAUUUGUCCAAUCAAAUUAUCAUCCCUACCGAUCAGCCACACCUCCAGUGUCUUGGUCUGUUAGGGGAUCCAGAUCCCACCGAUCUUAUUAAUGCAGAAACAAACAGAAUCCCUUUUAAAGCCGAGAAUUUUUCUCUGGAUCUGUGGAAGGAUACCUUCCGUUCCUGGCCCAGCCCUACCGUGGGAUGGAAGGAUUGGUUCUUCAGAGUCAGCCACUCAAAUGAAGUUCAGUGGGGUGAGAGAAGAUUAGACCAAUGCAUCAGGUUGUCCAUUGCCGAUAUGCAUAGGAAUGAGUCACUGCUGAUAGCUGCAUCAUAUUUCUGGUCAGACACACUCAAUGCCUUUGUCUUUGGCCACGGCCCUGCUUCCCCCACUCUUGCCAAUGUGCUUAUGCUCACCAGCAUAGAUGUAUCCACUGCCGAUAGUAGUCACCUGUUUGACACCAUGCCUAGUGCCAAAGUGGAAACCCGCGCUAUUGGUGGCUGGUCUGGAUACAUUCAGAAGUAUCGUAGAACGGGGCCUGUUAACAUAAAGGAGCAGACCACCUUCCUGAACAUGUGGCUGGACAAAUUUGUGUUAUGCGGUCGAUCGGCAGGACCAACCUCUGUCUACCUGUCGACAGCAGAGAGAUUAGCCAAUGGUGGCCGAUUUCCCCUCGGCCGAUACCUGCUUGGCUCUGCCUACCACCUCCUCCACCAAGUAGCCAGAAAACUCCUACUCGGCCAGCCCAUCGGCAAUCUAGGAGGACCCUGGUGGUUCAUCAAUAUGUGGCUUAGCCUCCACAUGCACAAGCGUCUUGAAUUCAACCUCUUCACACAACUCUUCCCCAGGGACAUAGCCGAGGAUUAUAAAUUAGAUGAAGAAGAAUCGGCAACUCGCCCUCCUCUGAACUUUGGCGAGGCUGUCAUUGUUCUGCCUGGCACAGGCGGCAAUGCAGACCAGGUCAGCCGAUUCUUCCAGACCUUGCAUGAAGGCCUAACUAGAGAACAGCGAGCAUGGAUGCCUUAUGAAGAUCCAGACACCAUGUUUCCUUUGGUCUUCCAUCCAUUCAAUGACACUCUCAACAAGGAUCAUGACAUGAUGAUGGCACUGAUCACUCCUAGAGCUAUACCAGUAAACUUCUUUGGCAGUGGGAAAACCUCCAACCAGACCUAUGAGUUUUACAACCCAUCGGCAUUAGCCCGUCAGUUAGCUUUCGGUCAGCUGCCGAUCGCCCUCUGUUAUGCCGAUGUGAUAAAACCCAGGGAAACCAUCACGAGCCUUCUUGAGUGGACCCGAGUAGCUCAACUGCCGCCGAAUGCCGAUACAGAUGCAGAUCUAUCAGAGUGGAUCCCGGCCCUCUUCAUUGCUCAGGCGUACAAACAAUGGUGGGAAGAAUGAAAAGAGCAUUUGUUCUGCAAAUCAGCUCUUACAUACUGCGGCAUGAUCGACCCUCAGUACAAAGUCCCCGAUGAUACUGUAAGUACUUCUAAGCCGAUACUCCAAUCUUCUUAUUUUUUUCAUUCUCAUCGGUAACUCACUUUCUGCGUUAUAUGACAGGUUAACAACACACCACCAUCGGCCAGUAGGAGUGGCAAGCCGAUUGAUCUCUUUCAAUCAGGUCCGAUUUCUUCAAUCGGCAACAACGCUCCCAAUUUGGCUGCCAUCAUGCAUCGAGGCGUGCGCUUGAAGAAAGUCACCACCAAGCACACAAAGACGUCUCCAUCGGUAGCUGCCUCCACCUUAGCACAGGCCUUCAAGGUAACUGUUCAAACUUUUUCAUUCAUACCGAUUCCAUUCUUACAUUUAUUACACCUGUACUCACGAAUCCUCAGUCUUGAUACAGCACACCGGCGCAUCGGCAAGGACCAGAAGUAUAAGUGCCGAUGCCCCCAGUCUAGCCAGCUGAAGAGAAAAGGUACCAAGCGUACCGGAGCACAAGCAAAGCGCCAAAGAGUAGCAAUGCCUCCUCCUCCCCCGGUAUCUCUAAUCCCGGUAGAAUCUUCUCCUUCCUCCCCAGAAGCUCAGAUGCAACAAGCACCAUCUCCCCCUCAGCUACAAGAAGCACCCCAAGUGGAAGAACUCCAACCAGAAGAACCCCAGUCGGAACUACCCCAGCCAGAAGACACAUCGGCUGAUGUGGGCGAACAGACUACCGAUCCAGCAGGCUCAAUCAUAGCAUCGGUAGUUUCCUUGAUCCAGACAAGCACUGCACCUCCUCAAGGUAACAUAUCUUUACAAAAUCAUUGCUAAUGAAUCCACUUUCCCGAUCUCAUAAUCACUUCUACUAAUUUUUAGCUGACAUAGUUCCAUCGGCAACCCUGGCCGAUCAACCCGUGGUUCCAUCGGCAUCUUCCAGUCAGAGGCGAGAGAUUGCCUUGAAACAAGUAAGCCACCCAACCUCCAUCGGUAUUAUUGGUCAAUACUUUAACCAUAGAAUGACUCACUUUAUUUCUUUUUCAGGAACAGGACUCUCCCGACAGCUUGUUUUCCUUGCCAUCGACAUCUCUAAAGAUGAAGGUGAGGAGGCCAGCUCUUCUCGAGCCGUUGGAAUUACAUCGGCAGAAAUUAGGGCAAAGUUGGAAGAGUUAUCAGCCCUCCUACAUCAAGACACAGCCCAAUUGGUCGAUGACUCCGACCCGGCCAAGGCUUUAUUCAAGACCCUUAGGGACCAAAUCCCCGCCGAUGCUGAAGAAAUUCUUUCUCAAACUGCACAUCUAGAAAGCCGUCAGCUGCAGUACCAGAGAGCUGCCCAACGUCUUGCCGAUAAAGCUGCUCAUGCCUAGCUCUGUGAAGAGAUGAUGAAGGUGAAGCUCCUUGCCGAUGAGAAGCACAAGAACAUCGGCAUCUUAAAGUCCUCAGGGGAGGCAUUGAAGCAAAAGAUUUCUGACUUGUCGGCAAGAAGAGAAGCCCUGCUGGCAGAACUCAAGCAAGUGGAAGAAGCCUUGUCCCAGGCUCAACAAGAGUAGAACCAGCUGCCUGAGGCGAUCAAGCGUCUUGAGCAAGAGCGCAAUGUCCAAGCCCGCACGGCGCUACAAAUGAAGAAGAAACUGAAGCCAGUGGAAGGCUCUACCGAUGAAGAUAUCAAAGAGAUAGAAGCAGCCAAUCAAAUUCGCCUGCGCGCUCUAUUGGUGAUCCAGGCGCUGGUGAACAUGUGAAUUCUUCAUCGGUGGCACACUUGCUCUUCCCCUUUUAUCACUCUUAGCAUUUUGGUCUAGCUGAUGGGAAUGUUAUCGGCACUUAAACCUUCAUGCAUCGACCCAUAUGCUUGGGUAAUACUUCUUUAGAUAUUUGCCAUUUAAUGCUCUGGGAAAUUCAACGCCUUCAAGAGUUUCUAGAAUAUAGGCGUUACCACGAGCCGAUCGACUUACCCGAUAGGGACCCUCCCAAUUGGGAGACCACUUCCCAAAUUUUGAACUCUUAGUCCCAAUCGGUAAGAUUAGUUUCCAUACUAAAUCUCCAUCGGCAAACUCCUUAGCCUUUACCUUUGUUGACUGUCCUUAAGUAUCAAAUUUAAUUAUCAAAUAAAUAAAGAAAAGGAUCCAAAUGAAAUCAACAUCUAGACUUAUGGUUUUAUCUGACAGAAUUCCACGAGUUUUGGUGUUUGUCUAUUUCUGCAGGGGGUUAUCAGGAAAUAAGGAAGAAAGGCCCACAUGUCAGGAUUACAUAGAGAUAUCAACGCACCGCGCAAUUUUUUACCAUCUAGAAGACUCCAGAAGCCACGAGACCGAAGCAGAGCCGAAACGGGGCCAGGACCUGGGCGCCCACCCAGUUUCCUUGGGCGCCCGCCCAACUGCCGAGCCCAAUCAGGACUCUUUCUCUCGGGAGAUCUCCACCGACCUAUUGGAUCCAGAAUAACGUAGUACCACAUCGCCUACCGACCCAAAAACGCAUAGAAGGGGAGGACUAUAUAAGGAGACCCCCUGGCCCCUGGAGAAGACAAGAAAUUAUCAUAGAGAUUGAGGGGUGCCCUCGAAGGAAAACCUCUUCUCUAAAUAAUAUUUCUUUUUAGGCUUAGCAACCAAUGUAAGUAGAAAUAGAUCUUCUAGUUUCUACUAGAUUGGGAGAGAUAGGGUGGAGGUGUAGAUCGGAGGAAGGCCGGCCUGUCGGUGUCUACUCCGAGUUGUACCUACGGGAUCAAGUCUCCUAACCCGAGGCUUGCUUCUAAGAUUCUUCAGUAAUUCGACUUCUAAUUCUAGUAAGUUCUUGUUUUAUUGUUCUUUGGUUUAUGAGUUUACUUUAAUCCUCUUCCGGUUGAGUAUUAGAGUAAUCACUUGUUAGCGUAAACGUGGUGUUUAGGCUAGGGUACUCAUAGAUAUCCCCUCACUAGCUGGACCGUGGUAGUAGCGAGGAUCGUGACAUUUCCGAGUUACCUUUGUAUCUCAUAUCUUGUUAGCAGGACGGGUAGGGUUUAUAGGUGCGGGUCGAACAUCCUUUGUGUUGUCUAGAUUCCGUGAGCCUCCCCAAUAGAACAGUAGAUCAUCCUUACCAAGGUUAGAAUGAGACUACGGUUGCAGUCUUCUCUAUACAUCACUCACAUCGAGAAACAUUCUUUGUAGCCUAAAGGGAUAGUAGCAAUAGAUUUGGUUUGUCAGAUGCACCCUUUCUCCCAGUGGUAAAAAUAUAAAUACGAUAACUCUGGAUAACCUCCUGGGUGAAAUGCUCACCGAUAUCCGUGCGCUUGCGGAUCAUUUCCUUAUUGCGUUACCAAAUAUCAACAAGCAUUUCUGGCGCCGUUGCCAGGGAGAAAGACGGUUUGCUGAGAUAACUUUGAGUCUUGUAUUAUCUUGUAUUAUACUUUUAUACUUUUAUUCUUUUAUCUUUUUAUCUUUACGGAUAACUCAAAUUCCAUACCUAUUAUUAAAUUCUUUGCACCUUCGGAGACCAGCCAUAGACCAUGGGAGUCAACACGUCCUGCCCCUAAUUAUGAUAUGUGUCUGGAGUUGAUUGCAAUAGGUCAAAACCAACCCUUUUCUAUAGCCGAGGUCCUAUCUUUUAAUCAAAAAGAUAAUGCACUUUUAGCUACACCUAGGGAAUCUGUUAAUCUUUCUAUAAAUUCUGGUUCAGACCUAGCCCUACAAGACCAUGUUUUUCCUAGAUAUUUUCACAUUGGUCUUAAUCAUAUAACCUUUGGUAGAGUCUUUCUUUCUUUAUCUAUUAGUAAAGGAAGGUAUGUCUUCAUUUGUGGACAUCCUUCUUAUACUAGUCUUCAUAGAAAAAUCUUAGAGAUAGAGAAGGAAUCAUCUCCCAGACGAGGAAAGGAAGUUUCAAUAGCCGAUUUCCAAACAUUUUAAUCCCAUAAUUCGGCUAUCCAACCCAUCCUUGAGCUUAAUAAUUUCUACUAUGCUCUUUCUCUUGAACCUUCCGAUAAUCAUAUGAAUCUCUCUAGACAUCCCAUGCAUAAGAAGGAGGAUCGAGAAGAGCAACAUCAAUGGCUAGAGGGCAUUAAAAAUCCAUGUGCUAUCACCAUUGAAUGGAUAGAUAAAACAAACUUGAGAGACAAUUAUACCUGGGCAUGCAGCCCGAGCCCGUGAGCACGGCCCGAAGCCCGUCAUUUUGGCCCGGCCCUAGCCCGGCCCGGCCCGAAGGUCAUUGGGCCUGGGCUGGCACGGCACGGGGCUGCAGGCCGUGCUUGGGCCACACUUCAGGCCCACGGGCCGACACGGCCCGGCCCGCCAAAUAACAACAUUGUAUAAAAUAAUUCAUUUUGAUAUCUAAAUCUAUUCUCUAUAUCUAUCAUAUGUAUUUGAAUGUGUUCUUUAUACUGAUGAAGUGAUAAAUUGAUGAAUGUGUUUGAAAUAUGCUAUUAAAUCUGUGUUUAUUGAUAUGUUAUUGUUCAACGGGCUAUGGGCUGGCCCGGCCUGACGGGCCCGCCCGGUACGCAAAAAGGCCCACGGGCCCGUGCCUGGGCUGAAGGUCAGGCCCGCAGGCCGGUAAGGCACGGCCCGCAGGGCACGACGUGCCCCCUCGGCCCGUUAGGCAACGUGCCGGGCUGGCCCGGUGUCGUGCCGGGCCGGGCCGGGCCAGCCCGUUGCCCAGGUAUAGAGACAAUCCUAGAGGAAUUUUAAGCAUUCAUGAAGAAUCAUCCUUGAAGUUUGAGAAUGAGAGAAACAACAGUGAGCAUGGAAGUUAUUUCAUAAAUACCUUAGCAAGUCCUUGCUCAUAUAAAACAUCUCCCAAUCAGUUGGUCUCUCCAUCCUUACCACAUUUGAGAUCUCCAACCCCCUCUUCCUUUCUAUUUAUAAAAACUUUAAAAGGGCGGUUGUCGAUGCAUAUGUCUAUAAUAAAUAUGGCAGAUCUCGUUGAGUUGAUUAAUGGUUUCCUAAGGACAAGCUAAGUGUCCUAAAACAAGCACUUAUUAGAUCGUAACAUGAAAUUUUAAUUAUUUACAACAUUACCUUGUGUAUUAAGCAUAUAAGGAUAAUUGUAGAAAUAUUCCUUCAAGUAUUCUUGCCACUCAUCAUGCAACAUUGAAUUAAAUUCAUCCAAUCUUGAAUUUUGCAAAAUUCAAGCUUGGGGGAGUACUUUACAUAAAAACAUCCAUUGCCAUGUUGCUAUGUUGGUUGUCCCUACCUUUGAGAGAUGCUCAAUUUGUUAAGUACUAAUCACACUACUUCAUCUCCACUUGAGUAGAUCUCUAUAAAUGCCAUCAUGCUACCUAUGUUUAUCUUAAGUAAGUGUUGGUUUGGAAGUACUGCACAUACUUCUAUUGGCUUUUAAAUUAAACAUGGUGCUUAGGUUAAACAGCCUUCCUUAAUCUGAUUAGACAUGGAGUCUAUUUCGAUUAUUGAACUAAAAACUGCUUGUGUAGACAUUAGUAUAUUUUGUUGGACUAACCCCUGCAGGAAAACUUUCAAUAUCAACCUGGGAAGUCCUGAGAUACAAACUCACUGGAGACAAAGGAGACACAUGAAGUUUAACAAUUUGCACAAGAAGGACAUAGCUCAUUCAUCAUAAAGAGAUGAUCUAUGGAGGGUGCCACAAACAUGAUGCACAACCGCUAAGAAAGGAAAUCUUCCACAAGGUGAUACUAUACCAUCACUCUUCAAGUAAGGUGACAUCUUAAGGUACUUGAUUAUCGCUUUUAUAAGUUUUUCCUUUGUUCUGGCAUUCACUUAAAAUAAAGAGACAAACAUGUAUGAUUUAUAACUCCAGAUUAACCAACUCAAUUAAUUCAACAUGUUUAGUCCUUUAAUCUUUGUUCUUAGUACUACCUUCGUGAUCCCACACUCCUAAUCAUAUAAGCUAAAAUGUUGCACAUUUAAAUCUUUGGAAGAUAUAAACAAAACAUAAAUAUAGAUAGAUUAUCUUUCCAUUAGGUUGAGCCAUCUGAUCUAACAAAUGUUUUAAAUGCUACACUCAUGAUCCAUCAACUUUGUCUUGCUCACUAUGCUUAAGGUUAGAGAAGAACAAAUACACUUUUAGUUCUGUUGGUGUUUUCCACCAUGGGCCUAUGCACUUGAUCUCUGCCUUGUCUCUAUGAGCAGAUACAAUUCAAGCAAAACAUGGAGGAGUUUUACAACUCCUAGAUUCCACCAAGUGAAGAACCGGGAUCUACGAGCACAAACACAAUGGAGAUCAGACACUUAGUUUCCCAAAGGAAAAAAUAAAGAACCUCUGUGUCCGAGUUGGUACCUUGUACGCUCCAGCAAACUUCGUGGUGAUAGAGACUGGUACUGAGGAGAGGGCACCCAUCAUCUUAGGGAGGCCAUUCCAAAACACUAGAGCUGUCAUCUACGCUAAUGCUGCCAAGAUCAGUCUCUACAUCAAGGGGAAGAAGGAGACUUUCCUUCAAGAACAAGACUACACAAACUUCAGAGCAAUCCCGACAUGAACCAAGGAUGAGGACCAAUAGGAGGAACAGGAACAAGCAAAUGUGGACCGAGUCAGCUAAGAUGGUCACUGCAGCUCAUGGAGGUCAAGAUCGUAGACUCAAGUUACCUUUCUUGAUCAAGAAGGACGACCCUGGUGUUCCAAGCAUCGAAUGCACAAUCAAUGAAUACUCUUUUCAGAAGACACUCUACGACACCGGAUCUGACAUCAACAUAAUGGCUGCAGUCACUUAUCAGCUCCUGCAUGGAACCAUGCCCCUACAACCAAUAUAUAUUCAGCUCCAGAUGAUUUUCAGAUCAUCGGCAUGGGAGAAGACGAGUAUGAUCCACCCACCGUCCUUGGAAGACCGUUCCUCAACACUAUCAAAGCAAUCAUCUACAUUGGAGCCGGAGAAGUCCACAUGUACUUCCCCUCUGAGAAGGUACGCAACUAUUUUACUGACCAUAACUAUAUAGUUGAAGAUUCUAAGCAGGUCAGGACAAGAAGAAGACAACGCAACCGCAACCAGAGGAGGCAAAUCAUCAAGAAUGGAUGGGUAGACUACGAAGGAGAAGUGAUAAGGACUGAAGACAUAUAGCUUGAACAAAACUGUCCUGAGGAGACCGUAGCACCGAGUCAGGUGUGGAGGGAGAAGAUAGUUAUACACGAAGAGAGGCGCCGCCGGAAUCACCGACUACGCCACCUAGCGAAUCCCAGGACGACUCAGAAAACAGAGAGUCCCAUUCGGAGGACUUAAAAAUACCGAACGCCUUGCCAAGAGGUAAACUUGGUAGUUAUCCUUUUCCUUUCAAUUAUUUAAAAUAGUUUGCUUAGUUAAUCAGGUUCAUGCUAUCUUUGAAAAGAAAAUAAAAAUGUUAAAAAACAGUAAGCCCCAUGUGAGUAUACGAGUGGCAUAAAACCCAUAAGUACAUUCACUGUGGUGGCGUAAAAAUAAAAUAAAUAUAUUAUUGUCCUAUCAAUAUAAAAAUAUAAAAAUAAAUUUACGAUCCAACUAAAGAGAGUAACAUUUAUUGAGGAGGCUCAACAUGAUAAAGGCUAGAUAUUUAUGCUAACACUUAACCAGUUCCACAAAGCUUUGUUGUCUAUUUGAGCUCCACAGAAUUCAAGGAUCAAAGAAGACUAGCAGAUGGAGGACAUCCUAAUCGCUGUUAGGGUACUACCGACUUUCAAAUACACCUCCAUCACCUGCUAGCUACAUCAGAAGAAAUUACAUCAAAAUCCAGCUUGGGGGAGAGCAUCCCCAUUUAUCCAGCUAAGUGUUUCUACUCGCGUUUAUACUUUACUCAAAUAAUAAGAGAUGCAUAAUCAUGAAAACCCAAAUAAAGAUUUUGUGCUUUUAUAUAUAUAUAUAUAUCUUUGCUUAGUUUGCUAAAUAAAUAAAUAAAUAAAGUUUGCUAUCAACCCUCAUGAUAAACUCUCACAUGGAACUGAUGAAUAGUUGCUCUGCCAUGACUAGUUCUUAAAAUUGAAAUCUCUCUCAAGUUUAGGCAUGACUGUUAUGAAUUAAAAUUUGCUCUAAACCUGAACUUGUGGGAAGAGUACUUAUCUAAAGUCUAAGUUGUCAACGGAUAUGAUAUGGGAAGGUUGAGCUGUUGUUUAUCUGUUCCUAGAGAUGCUAGAAUUCUAGAGAAUUUUAUCUUUGAAAAAUCUUUAAAAUAUCAUAUGAUGAGUUCCUAUAUGAUGAGAGUUUAAAUUCCUACCACAGCCAUAUAUACAUGCUUGCUAGACUUUGAACCACAUAUUUACUUUUUACUGCUUUUGAUCAUUGAGUGUGGUCAAGCUGUGUAGACCCUUAGGAGCUUGUCAUGUGGUUAAAAUCAAGAUUCACUUGCACGUUCACUCACACAUGCUGCUUCUACUCCGGAAGUACGCAUCCACAUACAUCCACUCAUUUCCAUCUCCAGAUUCACCCAAAAGUAUUCUACUCCUAAUCUGGGAGAGAAUAGCAAAAAUAUUUUCCUAUACCUGUGAAAUAAAUGCUCCAGUUAUUUUGGUUACUACCACUUGCUAUAUUAUUUCAGGAGAUGAGUGCUCUAAAAAAAAGAAGAGAAAGAAAAAUAAUAAUAAUAAUAAUAAUAAUAAUACGAGGAAAUAAAAAGGGGCAAGAGCCCGGAACCUCGAAGAAAAGAAAAAAAAGUGAGACGAGAGGUAAAAAUGGACAAGUGUCCGACAGUAGAAUUAGGGGUACAAGAUACCCACCUGAGAGGAAAGAAAAAGAAAAUAUAGAGCAUCUCAUUCUCCUCAAAAAGCUUCAAAGUGCAAGAAAGGUAUGUAUCCCCUCAAAAGAGCAAAAGUAGAAUUAGACUUUCACCAUUGUUUUCACCAUUGUUAUUACCAUCAUCACCAUACACCAUUCACUCGCCACACAUGCACAUCUUGAUUUGACUUAUUGACUUGUUUCUCUAGAUCCAUGGUUUGACUAUGCAAUAAAUGUCUUGUAAGUAUGUAUUAGCUGUCUCCCACCUAUGAGCUCCAGAUAUCAAAACCUUAUUAGAGUAUGGUGAGAGAGAAGGUGAUAUCACUAUGCAUUAUACCAAAAAUACCACAUACUUUGAGAGAAGGCAUAUACCAUUACUGCCUUGCUGAGGAUCCAGAAAUACCAUAAAAGAGAGAUUUGAGAGAGUCAUAUAAGGAAUCUCUGAGUUUUAUUGGAAAAUCUACAAAAACUCCAGAGCUAUAGCUGAUCAAGAAUAAGAGACAUGGCGCUUGACUUGACCGUUCUAUCUUUUAACUGCUCAAGAUACAAGUGACGGUUGCAAGCCCCAUGGUGAAAGGUAAAAUGAGUAAGUUUUAAGUCUUAACAGUUUAUUCUAACUCAGAGAUGAGAUCUUGCUUGAAUGCGUGUGUACCUUUAAGAAAUGAAACCAGUACAAAAACUCUUGAGUUCAUCCUUGCUCAGGGACGAGCAAGAGGUAAGCUUGGGGGAGUUUGUUGACGGUCCUUAAGUAUCAAAUUUAAUUAUCAAAUAAACAAAGAAAAGGAUCCAAAUGAAAUCAACAUCUAGACUUAGGGUUUUAUCUGACAGAAUUCCACGAGUUUUGGUGUUUAUCUAUUUCUGCAGGGGGUUAUCAGGAAAUAAGGAAGAAAGGCCCACAUGUCAGGAUUACAUAUAGAUAUCAACGCACAGCGCAAUUUUCUACCAUCUAGAAAACUCCAGAAGCCACGAGACCGAAGCGGAGGCGAAACGGGGCCAGGACCUGGGCGCCCGCCCAGUUUCCUUGGGCGCCCGCCCACGUGCCGAGCUCAAUGAGGACUCUUUCUCUCGGGAGAUCUCCACCGACCUAUUGGAUCCAGAAUAACGUAGUACCACAUCGCCUACCGACCCAAAAACGCAUAGAAGGGGAGGACUAUAUAAGGAGACCCCCUGGCCCCUGGAGAAGACAAGAAAUUAUCAUAGAGAUUGAGGGGUGCCCUCGAAGGAAAACCUCUUCUCUAAAUAAUAUUUCUUUUUAGGCUUAGCAACCAAUGUAAGUAGAAAUAGAUCUUCUAGUUUCUACUAGAUUGGGAGAGAUAGAGUGGAGGUGUAGAUCGGAGGAAGGCCGGCCUGUCGGUGUCUACUCCGAGUUGUACCUACGGGAUCAAGUCUCCUAACCCGAGGCUUGCUUCUAAGAUUCUUCAGUAAUUCGACUUCUAAUUCUAGUAAGUUCUUGUUUUAUUGUUCUUUGGUUUAUGAGUUUACUUUAAUCCUCUUCCGGUCGAGUGUUAGAGUAAUCACUUGUUAGCGUAAACGUGGUGUUUAGGCUAGGGUACUCAUAGAUAUCCCCUGACUAGCUGGACCGUGGUAGUAGCGAGGAACGUGACAUUUCCAAGUUACCUUUGUAUCCCAUAUCUUGUUAGCAGGACGGGUAGGGUUUAUAGGUGCGGGUCGAACAUCCUUUGUGUUGUCUAGAUUCCGUGAGCCUCCCCAAUAGAACAGUAGAUCAUCCUUACCAAGGUUAGAACGAGACUACGGUUGCAGUCUUCUCUAUACAUUACUCACAUCGAGAAACAUUCUUUGUAGCCUAAAGGGAUAGUAGCAAUAGAUUUGGUUAGUCAGAUGCACCCUUUCUCCCAGUGGUAAAAAUAUAAAUACGAUAACUCUGGAUAACCUCCCGGGUGAAAUGCUCACCGAUAUCCGUGUGCUUGCGGAUCAUUUCCUUAUUGCGUUACCAAAUAUCAACAACCUUCUUAUCAUACCAUCUAGCAACUCUCUUCUUAUUUUCUUCUAUACUCAUCAAAGCCCUUUGCCGAUGCCCUGCUAGAUCAUCCAACUCGUCUGUCAUCAAAGUAGCAUAGUCAUCGGCAGCCAACUGAUCCUGAAAAGAUAGUCGCCUAGACCCAGCCUUAAUUUCCCAAGGUAACACUGCAUCAUGCUCAUCCGGUAUGACCAUAAAGCCUCAUUUAACAAAGUGUGCCACCUCCUAGGAUUUUCUUCAAUCUUCCGUUUAAUAAGCUUGAUAAUUCCUUUGUUAGACGCCUCAGCCUACCCAUUAGCUUGAGCAUAAUAAGGAGAAGAAUUUAAUACUUUAAUUCCCAUACCGAUUGCAAAUUCAUCAAACUCCCCCGAUGUGAACAUAGUACCCUGAUCGGUAGUAAUUGUUUGAGGAAUUCCAAAUCGGUAAAUAAUAUGCUCUUUUACAAAACCAAUCAUAUUAGCCGAUGUAACUUUCUUCAAAGGAAUAGCUUCAACCCACGUGAUGAAAUAAUCGAUAGCAAUCAAGAUAAACUUAUGCCCUUUGCUGGAUGGCGGAUAAAUUUGGUCGAUUGAGUCAAUAGCCCAUCCCCGAAACGGCCAAGGCUUGAUGAUAGGACUCAUGGCUGAUGCAGGCGCUCUUUGAACAUUGCCAAAUUUCUGACAUCCCUGACACCCUUUGAAAUACUUAAAGCAAUCCUCAAGUAUAGUCGGCCAAUAAUACCCAUUUCUUCUAAUCAUCCAUUUCAUCUUAAAUGUCGACUGAUGUGCUCCACACACUCCCUCAUGGAUCUCUCCCAUCAAACUUCUAGCCUCAUCAUCACCUAGACAUUUGAGAAGAAUCUCAUUAAUAGUUCGGUAAUAUAACUCAUCUUCGAGGAGCACAUAUUUAGUAGCUUGAAACCGAACACGCCUAUCAACUUUCUUGGAUGGAUCCUUUAAAUAAUCAAUGAUUUCUUUCCUCCAGUCAUCGGCACUGAUUGCCGAUAUUGCAUUAAUCAUGGGCUGAUAUCCUGAGGCAUGCUGAGCCAACCAAUUGGCUUUCUCAUUAUGCAAUCGAGGAACAUGCUCUAAUCGGAAGUCCUUGAAUCCCUUUAGUAGUUGCACACUUCUUUCAUAAUAAGUUAUCAGGACCUCGCUUCGGCAUUCAUAACUCCCAGCCAAUUGAUUUAUAAAUAGCAUAGAAUCCCCAAAGAUUUCAAUAGCAUCAGCAUGAACUUCCCUUAGUAAUUCCAACCCCUUUAUCAAAGCUUGAUAUUCAGCCUGAUUAUUUAUUGACGUGGCAACGAUCGACAAGGAGAACUCAUAUUUCCUUCCCCGAGGGGAAAUUAACACUAUGCCGAUCCCUGCACCCUGGUCACACGUGGAUCCAUCAAAGAAGAGCGUCUAAGGUACAAUUUCCAAAGUCUCCACUGUAUCGCAAUGUUGAGUCACGAAAUCGGCCAUAAUCUGUCCCUUAACCGCUUUAGCCGAUUCAUAACGCAAAUCGAAUUCCGACAAUGCCAAAAUCCACUUACCGAUCCUGCCACUCAUGAUCGGCAUAGAUAGCAUGUAUCGGACCACAUCAUCUUUGCAAAUAACCGUGCAUUCGGCCGAUAACAAAUAAUGCCUCAACUUGAUACAAGAGAAGUACAAGCAUAAACAUAGUUUCUCAACAGCCAAAUACCUGGUCUCAGCGUCAAUCAACCUCCUGCUUAAAUAAUAAAUCACACGCCCUUUCCCUUCAAAUUCUUGAAUUAAAGCCGAACCGAUGACCAUCCCAUCCGUAGAUAAGUACAAUCUGAAAGGCUUCCCUUGCUGAGGUGGGAUCCAAACUGGAGGAUUUACCAAAUAAUUCUUGAUUUCAUCUGAGGCCAACUGUUGUUCUUUCCUCCAAACAAAUUCUUGGUCGGCCUUCAACUUAUGUAGAGGACUGAAAGCACGAAUUUUACCAGACAAAUUAGAUAUAAACCUUCUGAUAAAAUUUACCUUGCCGAUCAAGGAUUGGAGCUCAGUCUUGUUAGUAGGGGCAACUAUUUUGUUGAUAGCAUCAAUGGAUCUCUGACUAAUUUCAAUCCCCCUUUGAUGCACCAUGAAACCAAGAAAUUGUCCUGCCGAUACACCAAAUGCACACUUAUUGGGAUUCAUCUUUAAACCAUGCUUCCUCGUGCAUUCUAACACUUUUCGCAAAUCGGAAAGAUGCUUUGUGAAGUCUCCAGACUUAACCACCACAUCAUCAUUAUAAAUUUCCACCAGCUUGCCGAUGAAUUCAUGAAAUAUAAAAUUCAUAGCCCUCUGAUAAGUAGUACCAGCAUUUUUCAAGCCAAACGUCAUGACUAUCCAUUCAAACAACCCAACAUGACCAGGGCAUCUAAAUGCAGUCUUUGGAAUAUCUUCUUCAGCCAUGAAUAUUUGAUUGUAUCCUGCUUUGCCAUCUAUAAAGCUGAUAAUCCGAUGCCCAGCCGCAGCGUCAACUAGCAGAUCGGCAACUGGCAUUGGGUAGCCAUCCAUCAGUGUAGCUUUAUUAAGAUUCCUGAAAUCAAUACAAACCUGAAGUUUUCCAUUUUUCUUGUAGACUGGGACAACAUUGGAAAUCCACUCGGCAUACCGACAUUGCCGAAUAAAUUUAGCUUCGAUAAGCUUGGUUAUUUCGGCCUUAAUAUCAGGAAGAAUAUUAGGAUUACAUCGGCGAGCUGGCUGUUGAUGUGGCCGAAAUCCAGACUUAAUAGGUAACCGAUGUUCAACAAUCGAUCGGUCCAAACCAGGCAUCUCGGUAUAAUCCCAGGCAAAGCAAUCUUUAUAUUCUAUUAAAAAAUCAGUCAAUUGUUGCUUACACUCAGAACUUAGCUUAGCACUAAUAAAAGUAGGUCUAGGUUUAUCACCACUACCUAUUUCUACCUCUACCAAAUCAUCGGCCGAUGUGAAUCCCUGGCCUAGCUUUCCAUCAUCGGCGAACCUAUCCAUUAAAAACCUUCAUCAGAACCGACUGCUUGGAUCGGUGGAAUUUCAUAGUCGGCAACCUUGAGAAAAUCCUUCUCCCAAACUUCUCCUGAAAUACACCUAGUCCUUUCAUAGGUGUCUACUUCUGCCAAUGCAAUGACAUAGGAGGAAUCUCUCGGGACAAUCUCAAUUUUGUCACCUACCCACUGGACCAAGCACUGGUGCAUCGUAGACGGGAUGCAACAAUUGGCAUGAAUCCAAUCUCUUCCCAACAGCAAAUUAUAAGCACCCUUUCCACUAAUCACGAAGAAGGUUGUCGGCAAGGUUUUGUUGCCGAUGGUCAACUCAACACAUAUUGCCCCCUUAACCGGAGACACGUUGCCCUCAAAAUCUUUGAGCAUCAUAUCGGUCUUGGUCAAAUCCUGAUCUCCUUUCCCAAGCAUCUGAUAUACUGCAUAUGGCAUGAUAUUGAUAGCAGCCCCACCAUCAAUUAAAAUCUUGGUCAUCGGCUGGCCAUCCACCUUUCCUUUAACAAACAGAGCCUUAAGAUGUUGCCUUUCAUCAUCGGCAGGCUUCUCAAAGAUGGCUGUCAUCGGAUCCAGAGCCAACUGAGCUAUCUGGUCGGAAAACUCCAACUCAUCAUCACUGGACGGCGCAAGAAAUUCCAUCGGCAACAUAAAUACCAUGUUGACAUCUGCCGAUGGACCUUUUCCCUUAGGAUCUGAAUGUUGCUGAUCCCUAGACUGGCCAGAGUUUUCACCCUUGUUCAACUCUUCUCGUCUUUCACGCUGCAACCUCCUUUUUUGGGUCCUAGUCAACCCCUCUUGACACUAUGGAGGGAGUUGUUGCUGCCUUACCGAUGGGCGAUGAUUUUCCCUUGAUUCCAUCUGAUAAGUGUUGGCGUCCCUACAAAAUAUGAACUCAUUGGGAACCCAUGCAUUAGCCAUCUCCUCAAGUUCUUUUUGGUUCCUGGGAAAAUAUUUAACACGAUCACCAAGCCUAUCAUGCACGCUGAGCCUGCCCCCCAACCGAUCAUGAACCGACGCUUUCCCCCUGAUCGGUCCAUCAAACCGGCGGUUAUUGUUCUGGUACUGCCGAUUUGAUCUGUCAUACUGAUCAUAACCAUUGCAUUCCAGGCAGUCUCUGACAGUAGGAAGCUUGAUAUUCUCUUCCCAACAAUGGAUGAAGAACGGACAAUUCCAGUGAUCCCUAUGCCGAUUCCAUUCUUGUUGGCGUCUUUCUUCUUCCCGAUGAUAAUCUUCUUGCUGGUGCCGAUACCGAUCCUCACGUUGCUGCCAAGUUUCCCGUGGCCUUCUAUGAGUUAUCACAAUACCAGAUCGGGGAGGCCUCCUUGAGUUAGUUCCCUCCUGAAUCAAACCUUUUCCUUUUGCAUCGUCAGUGGUGAUCUGAUGCUGAGGAUCUACCGAUGCACUUCUUUCAGCUGUUAAGACCUUGGCCUUUCCUUUAGCAUCCAGCAUGUUUGUUGGAAAAGGAUGCUGAUCAAUCUUCAUCGGCUUCUGAGUUUUGGAGCUGUCAAAUUUGAUCCACCCAGAUUCUAUAGCCGAUUGCAGCUGCUGUCUAAAAACCUUGCACUCAUUGGUGCUAUGAGAAGUAGCAUUGUGCCAUUUGCAGUACUUCAUCUUCUUUAAUUCCUCAGUCGAUGGGAUUACAUGAUUGGGUGACAAUUUGAUCUGACCUUCCUGAAGUAGAAAGUCAAAUAUCCUAUCGGCUUUAGUGAUAUCAAAUGCGAACUUCUCUGGCUCUUUAUGCCCAAAGGGGCAAGACAUCGGCUUCUUAUUCUUUACCCAUUCUGCUAAGCCGAUGACUGGUUCCUCGUCAGAGUCCGAGCUUGCCGCUUCAUCUACAAACGAUACCUUUUUGUUCCAUGCUCUCUUGGGCUCAAAAGGCUUGAUAUCUUGAUCAGAAAUCCUCUGCACCAAAUGACUUAAGCUUUCGAAUUCUUGAGAUGCAUACUUGUCCCUGAUAUGCGGCAACAAACCCUGGAAAGCCAAAUCGGCUAGCUGCCGAUCAUCCAAAACCAGACUAUAGCAUUUGUUCUUGACUUCCCGUAUCCUCUGCACAAAACUUUCAACCGAUUCAUCAUUGCGUUGCUUCAGUUUGACCAAAUCAGUGAUCUUCUUCUCAUGAACUCUAGAAAAGAAGUAUUUGCGGAAUUGCUUCUCUAGAUCAGCCCAAGUAAUCAUUGAGUUGGGAGGUAAUGAUAUAAACCAAGUGAAAGCCAAUCCAGACAAUGAUGACGAGAACAGGCGAACCCUUCACUCAUCCCCGUUAGCAGCUUCUCCACAUUGAAUGAUGAACCUGUUGACGUGUUCCAUGGUUGAUGUAUCAUCCUGCCCAGAAAACUUAGUAAAAUCUGGCACUUUUACUGAUUUGGAAGCGGGAUUAAAUCAUAUGCAGGAGGAUACGGUGUCCGAUAAGAGUAAGUAUUGACUUUGAGUUUUAUCCCAAACUGGUCUCUCAUUACUUCAGCAAUCUUAUCGGCCCAAUAAGCAUCGGCAUCUUGCCGAUGAGGCGGUUGCGGAUCUGGGAUCUGGUGAUAUGCUUCCACAUGUCUAUUUGGUGCGCGAUCUGCAUGGAACAUUGGGUUAAUCAUCUGGCCACCAACUUGUUGGCCACCGAUCUGUCCACCGAUCUGUUGACCACCAAACUGCUAACCACCAAUCUGCUGCCCCAGAUUCAUUGGCUAGUUGGGCAACCCUUGAUUCUGGAACCCAGGGUAGAUCUAGCCUUGUUGAAACCCUGUAGUUUGAUGAUGCUGUUGGGGCAUUUGUGAAAAGACUUGCUGCUCAGGCCAUCCACUAUUAGCAUUCAUCGGCAUAGGACAUGCCGAUGAUUGGUAAUUGGGCAUUAUCAUUGUAUUGACAUACCCUGGCUGAGUCAUAAACUUCUGUUGCAUCAGCACUGAAUCUGCUGAUGCAUUAGGCAUCUAGAACAUUGGAGCUUGAGAAUUCCCAGUGUAAGGCCUUGCAGUAGUGGUUGUAGUAUACUGGGGACUCUGAUUCAUCGGCAUAUUUGGAGGUGCCGAUGCCAUAGGAGCCUUGCCUCUCACAUCAGCCGUCUGAGAUGUACCAGGUGUCUUCAACGUGAACUAUGGAGGCAUACCAAAACCCCACCAGUUAGGAGAAGGGACUGGUCCCGACAUUGCCGAUGCCAAUAGAUCUGUAGUAAGCUUAAUCUACCCAUCUGAGGUAGAUGGAUUGGUCGUCAUCGGCGUAGAUUGUGCAUUAGUAACUCCUAACGUACUUGGAGGAACCGCAGUUUCUGUGCCCGCAGCGACUGUAGCAGCCGAUGGAGCCGUAACCACUGGCGAUCCUGGCUGAUGAUAGACAGGGCCCACAUAAUUUGGUGGCAACUGUCCUUCUUUGAAAGUUCUAGCCACGGCAUUGAAAACCAUAUUGAACAGCACACCAGCUUGGUUGAUCAAGGCACGGUUGAUAGCACUGUCGACCAUGUCUUGAAGUUUACCAGGAUUGGCUUCAAAAGUGACCUGCCGAGGGGUCGGCAGUGCUUCCUUCUGGAUCACCUCGCCACUCCUGUUUAUGUUGAAGGCCUUGAGACAUUGUUGCUUGUAAUCUUCCAUAGCCUUCGCAAUAGCCUGCUUCUGCUCAUCUUUGAGGCUAGCUUCUGUCACGGGGAUGACAUUCUCCAAGUCAAACUCGGUAGUCGACAUAUUGAUCUUGAUCUUGAAUCUGGUCCCACCGAGCGUGCCAAAAGAUGUGUUGAUGCAAAAGCUGAAUCUACAAACACAAAGGGCUAAUACCCGAUUCAAACGUUAAGGCGUGCCAGCUGAUUUGACCUUACUAUCGGCAAAGGUGAUAACUCGAAUACUUUGGUCCUGACAACAGCGAUGCGCCCGGAUGCCACGGCCAAGAGGUAUUCACGCGGAACUCGAGAAUACACUGAGCUUAAGUCGACGAAUUUCUAAGAACUCGUAAUGAAAAGAAAAAUAUGACGAAGUCGUCAAAAAGGUAGAUACUGGAAUAUGAGUAAAACUUGUGUUUGAUUGAUUGAUGGAUGUCUCAAUUACAAGGCCCUAGGGUCUAUAUUUAUACUCUGCUCAAAGAGCUACAACCAGACACGACUAGAACUCAAAUUCCAAAUUAAACAGAAUCCGUAUACAAAACGAUUAAAAUAACUAAGGGAAACAUAAAACUAUCCUCCCGUGACAAACUAGGACACCACUACAGACCAAUCGGCAACCUUUAAGCCUUCCUUCCGCAUCAUUGGCAGAUUCUCCAUCGUAGCCAUCAACAAAGGUUAAUGCUGGCUAUCGGCAUAAACACAUCACCAUCCAUGGACUUAGCCAUAUUCAGCUGUCUCCUCAUCGGCAACCGCCCUCAUUGGCAACUCUUCUGCAGACCAGUGACCAUUACCCUGUCUUGCCGAUCCACACUCUACCGAUUCUGGAUACGUGUCCAAAAACGGUGUCAACAUAUGGUUUUCGAUGGGAAAAGAACUAGGGCGUAGAGGACCUUCGUGCGAACUCACCUAGGCGACUUUUGAGAUCGGAGAGAGCUUGGAAGAGGGCGGCAACACGUCGAGGCGGAUCUUUGCGUUCCUGUGAAGUUCGGCGAGCAAUUCAGCAACAUGGAGAAGGAUAGAACGAUGAUGGAGAGCACAGGGGGUUCAAAACCUCAACGCGAAGCUCGACGUCCACUCGACUGUGAAAGAGCGGCCGCGUAUGGCAAGAACCACGGCGGAGGUUCUUCCUCUACUCGUGGCGAGAUCCAAACUGCGACGACGACCGCAAAGAGAUCUCGUUGGCUUCACAGAUGAGGGAAAGGGCACGCGGGGAAGGUUCCUGAGCUUUUAUAGGAGCACGGUAGUCGAUCACGGUAACAAAUCCCGUGGUAAACGGGAUUGGGCUCUGUCCCGAUGUGAAGUCCUGCUUGGCCACGCAAGGAAGAAAGGUUGAAGUCACUGACUUGUGGGGCCCUCCUGUCGGUGACCAAAAGUGCGGGACCCGCUUGCCAGCCAAGGGAGAGAGAGGACGGUGCGCUGGCUGGCCAUUUGAGCCGAGAGAGGGAAGCAAGGCUUGCUGCGCGCGCUGGGCCAAAGGGAAACAGAAGGGGGAGGUUUUUUCCUUUUUCUUUUGUUUGUUUUCUUUUUGUUUCAUUUUAUUUCAAAACCAUUUGAAACCCAUUUAAAUAUUCUUUUAAAUCUUUUUGAAUUUUGAGUUCAAAAACACUCAGCACAAUAAACCAAAAUGCAGAAGCAUGAGUGCACAAAAAUGUUGCUACACCCUAAGAUAAAUUUUAUUUUGAUGAAGAAUAUUAUUUCCUAGGUUUCAUGAGCACCAAAAAUUCAUAAAUAAAUCAUUUUCACCUAUUUUUAAAAUGAGCAAAAUUUUGGGUGUUACACUUAGACUUUAGAUCAAGUACUCUUCCCACAAGUUCAGGUUUAGAGCAGGUUUAAAUUAUAACAGUUAUGCCUAAACUUGAGAGAGAUUUCAAUUUUGAGAACAGAGCAACUAUUCAUCAUUUCCAUGUGAGAGCUUAUCAUGAGGGUUCAUAGCAAACUUUAUUUAUUUAUUUAUUUAGCAAACUAAGCAAUCAACACAAAAUCUUUUUUUGGGUUUUUAUGACUAUGCAUAUUUUUAUUAUUUGAGUAAUGUAUAAACGUGAGUAGAACACUUAGCUGGAUAAAUGGGGUGCUCUCCCCCAAGCUGGAUUUUGACGUAAUUUCUUCUAAUGUAGCUAGCAGAUGGUAGAGGUGUAUUUGAAUGUCGGCAGCACCCUGACAACAAUUAGGAUGUCCUCCGUCUGCUAGUCUUCUUUGAUCAUUGAAUUCUGUGGAGCUCAAAUAGACAACAAAGCUUUGUGGAACUAGUUAAGUGUUAGCAUAAAUAUCUAGCCUUUAUCAUGUUGAGCCUCCUCAAUAAAUAUUACUCUCUUUUGUAGGAUCAUGAAUUUAUUUUUUAUAUUUUUAUUUUUAUAGGACAGCAAUAUAUUUAUUUUAUUUUUAUGCCACCGCAGUGAAUGUACUUAUGGGUUUUAUGCCAUGAGCAUACUCACAUGGGGCUUACUAUUUCUAACAUUUUUAUUUUCUUCUCGGGAUGAUAUGAACCUGAUUAACUAAGCAAACUAUUUUAAAUAAUUGAAGUGAAAAGGAUAACUACCAAGUUUACCUCUUGGCAAGGUGUUCGGUGUUUUUAAGUCCUCCAAACGGGACUCUCCGUUUUCUCAGUCGUCUUGGGAUUCGCUAGAUGGCGUAGUCGGUGGUUCCGACGGCGCCUCCUCUUCGUGUAUAACUAUCUUCUCUCUCCACACCACUUCUUCUUUGUAGUCUGCCCAUCCGUCCUUGAUGAUUUGCCUCCUCUGGUUGUGGUUGCGUCAUCUUCAGAGGGGAAGUGCAUGUGGACUUCUCCGGUUCCAAUAUAGAUGAUGGCUUUGAUAGUGUUGAGGAACGGUCUUCCAAGGAUGGUGGGUGGACCGUACUCGUCUUCUCCCUUGUCAAUGACCUGGGUCGUCCUUUUUGGUCAGGAACGGUGACUUAAGUCAAUGAUCUUGACCUCCUUGAGCUGCAGUGACUAUCUUAGAUAACUCGAUCCACAUUUGCUUGUUCCUAUUCAUCCUGUUGGUCCUCUUCGUUGGUUCAUGUUGGGAUUGCUCUGAAAUUUGUGUAGUCUUGUUCUUGAAGGAAAACGUCUCCUUCUUGCCCUUGAUGUAGAAACUGAUCUUGGCAGCACUAGCGUAGAUGACAACUCCCGAGGUGUUCAGGGAUGGCCUCUGUUGAUUCCUACCUUGAUUUUGUUGAGGACGGUUGUAGUGGUAGUUUUUGUUGUUGUAGUUUACGUCCUCAAGUAUCUCAGGGCAGUGAUGGCCUGAGUGUCCAGUAUCUCUAGUGUGUUUGUGCUCGUAGAUCCAGGUUCCUCACUUGGAAGAAUCUAGGAGUUGUAAAACUCCUUCAGGUUUUGCUCGAAGUGUACCUGCACAUAAAGACAAGGCAGAGAUCAAGCGCAUGGGCCCUGUUGGUGGAAAACACCAACAGAACCAAAAGUAUAUUUAUUCUUCUCUAUCCUUAAGCAUAGGGAGCAAGACAAAGUUGAUGGGUGAUAGGUUCAUGAGUGUAGCAUUUAGAACAUUUGUCAGAUCAGAUGGCUCAACUUAAUGGAAAGAUAAUCUAUCUAUAUUUAUGUUUUGUUUAUAUCUUCCAAACAUUGAAUGUGCACAUUUUAGCUUCUAUGAUUAGGAGUGUGGGAUCACGAAGGUAGUACUAAGAACAAAGAUUAAAGGACUAAACAUGUUGAAUUAAUUAGGUUGGUUAAUUAGGAGUUACAAAUCAUACAUGUUUGUCUCUUUUAUUCAUGUGAACGCCAGAACCAAGGAGAAGCUUAUAAAAGCGAUAGUCAAGUACCUUAAGAUGUUUUACUUGAAGAGUGAUGGUACAGUAUCACCUUGUGGAAGCUUUCCUUUCUUCGCGGUUGUGCAUCGUGUUUAUGGCACCCUCCAUGGAUCAUCUCUUGUGAGCUAUGCCUUCCUUGUGUAAAUUGUUAACCUUCAUGUGUCUCUCUCAUUGUCUCCAAUGUGAGUUUACCUCAGGACUUCCCAAGUCGAUAUUGAAAGUUUUCCUGUAGGGGUUAGUCCAACAAAAUAUCCAAUAUCUACAUAGCAUACUAUCGGCUCAAAAAUCAACCUAGACACCAUGUCUAAUUUGAUUUAGGAGGGCAUUUUAACCUAAGCACCAUGUUUAAUUUAAAAACCCUUGGAAGUAAGAUCAUCAUUCCUAAACUAAGCACCAUGCUUAAUUAUGAGAUAAAUGAAACUACUCCAAACCUAGACAUAUACUAAAGCAAACAAAGGUAGCAUGAGAGUAUUUAUAGAGAUCUACUCAAGUGGAGAUGAAGUAGUGUGAUUAGUAUUUAACAAAUUGAGCAUUUCUCAAAGGUAGGGACAACCAACAUAGCAACAUGGCGAAGGAUGUUUUUAUGUAAAGUACUCCCCCGAGCUUGAAUUUUGCAAAAUUCAAGUUUGGAUGAAUUUGAUUCAAUGUUGUAUGAUGAUUGGUUGGACAUACCUUGUGCUUGUCAUUCAUUCGAUCUUCUUGCUCCAAUCCUUGAAAGGUUAGUGACAAGAAUGCCUGAAGGAAUAUUUUUACAAUUAUCCUUAUAUGUGUUGACGGUCCUUAAGUAUCAAAUAUAAUCAGCAAAUAAACAAAGAAAAGGAUCCAAAUGCAACCGACAUCUAGACUUAGGGUUUUAUCUGACAGAAUUCCACGAGUUUUGGUGUUUGUCUAUUUCUGUAGGGGGUUAUCAGGAAUUAUGGAAGAAAGGCCCACAUAUCGGGUUUACAUAGAGAUAUUAACGUGCCGCGCAAUUAUCCUACAUCUAGAAGAGUCCAGAAGCCAUGGGAACGAACGGGAGACCGGACGGGCUCGGGGGCAGGGCGCCUGCCCUCCCCCCUUGGGCGCCCGCCCUGGCCUCAGGGCCAAUCACAGCCAACUUCGCGGAUCACGCUCCACCGACCUAAAGGAUCAAGGAAAACCAUGCGAUUAAUGUCGGUUUGAUCCGACGGCCCACAUUCACUUGGAAGGACUAUAUAUUCAGAAGAGUGAAUGUUUCUGAAUAAAUGUCUUGAUCUUAAGAGCAUGAUAAAUCUCUCAACAAGGGUCUAACCCAUUUUGAACAAACUCAAUAGAGAGUGGAUAGAUUUUAUAAUCAUAAUUAAUAUUUUUAGUUUUAUCAGGCAUAUAAAACACUCAGGAUGGUAGCUAAAAUUUUUUGAAUAAAUUCUCCAAGCAACAAUGAUAUCAAGAAUAAGAAACUCAUACUCUACCAUCUCACAUUCCACAAUGACUUAAGUAACACAGGGUUUUAAAAUGAUUUUUCAAUAAUUGCAUGUUUCAAGAAAUAUCACAGAGUGAGAUUAAUUAUGAUUAGAGACAUUUUAAUCUUUUUAAUUUAUCAUGUCGGAAACAGUAUUCUGCAUAUUCCAAGAUAUAUAUAUGUGUAAAGUGUGCAGAGUGUGUACCUGAAUCGUGGAGUGGUGUAGUCGAAGUGUGUUUGGCAUGUCAAGGGAUCUCCCCCAUACUUGUUUUCUGCUUUCUUACACAAAAAUAAAGUAGAGAUACACAAGACAUACUCUUUAUUAAUCUUGGGGCAUUUAUUGCAAAUAACUAGUAGCAAACUGACGAUAAUAGUAGCAAACUAAAGAUAAUAGUAAACCUAAACCGAAUUUAAAGAUAGAUAACUAAGAUGCAUUGCCUCAAGAUCUAAUCUAGAUAACUUAGCGGCGCUCUAACUCCUUGAUCUUCUUAUUGGCACUAGCAAGAUCAUGCCUAAGGCCUAGUAUAACGGUGUUGUGGUUAGAGAGCUGCCUAGUGAUGGAAUUAACCGAGGACUUGAGGUCUAUGAUAACCCUAUCUAGCCUGCGAACGUCCUCAUCAAUAUCUACUAUAGUCUUGCGAUGCUUAGGAGGUGUCUCAAAAGUAUUAAGAGCAUGCUUCGGGGCUGCCUUUGGAGGAAUGAAACGGACUUUGGCUGCUCUAAUCCCUUUGAAGUAAGGCCUCUCCUCCUCCGUAGUGUAGCGGAUGCUGCUGAUCUCACCGCUCUGGUUGGUCUUGACACCAACAACCCUUUCAUUGGGUUUGGGUUGAAGGAUCCUCGUGCCGGUUGGCACCUUGAUGGUGGUCUUCGUCUUGGAUGAUGAUCCUUUGAGAAGUAGGGGUUGUGGCGGUGCAGUCAGAACUGGUUGAGCAUGAUAGGAUCGGGCGGAGCUGCGUUGGCGUAAUGGCAUGGCUUCUAGCUGUCGCUCUGUGUUGGCCGGGACGAGAGCACGGGCGUCGGGGUCUUCCUCAGGCUUCAUGUUGAGGUUGAAGGGGACGACUUCCCAAUCAUCGUGGAACUUCUCGGCCAUUGGAGCAGCGAGGGACUAAACAAGCUCUAAUUGAGGAAGAAGGGAAGGCUUGGGUGGAUUGGUGUUUGAAAACUGAUGUCAGGGGUCUGUUUAUAUAGGGGUCAAAAAGUGCCUCUUGGAGUUGUUCGGGUUGCUCCCGUCGAUGUGCGUGUGAAACUUUCCAUCUGAGGGAUUAUUCGGAUUACCAAAAGUGUAUUUUCCAUAACAGAGGAAAUCGAGACCGAGAGGGGGCAGGAGCUGGGCGCCCGCCCACCUGAUCAGGGCGCCCACCCUCUCUCUGGCUCCUCUGUGGGCCCGCUUCCUCGAGCGUGUUUCUAGAUGCAAAACUAAUUAGGAAAAUAUAUGUAUGACCCAAAAACGUCAGAUUAAAAGUGUCGGGUUCUAAUUCUCCAUGGGAAGGUAAAAAUGAAUCACGUCUAUUUCUUCUAAUUCUUUAUUGGGCUCUAAAAAUAAUUUAAGACGUUGACCAUUUACCUUAAAUAACAUACCUUCAUCAUUUUAAAGUGUGAUAGCUCCAUGGGAUGAUGAAUUGAUUACCUUGAAUGGUCCUUCCCAUUCACUUCAGUGUUUUUCAUGCCCAAAAAGCAUCACCCUGGAAUUAAAAAGUAAUACCUUAUCUCCGGGUGCGAACUCCUUCUUGAUUCUCUUGUCAUGCCACCUUUUGACUCUUUCUUUGUAGAUCUUUGAAUUCUGAUAUGCUUUCUCUCGCCAUUCUUCCAAUUCUGAUAGUUGCAUUCUUCUAUGAUCUCCAGCAACAUCUAGGUCCAUAUUCCAUCUCCUUAUGCCCCAGUGUGCUUUGAACUCUAGUCCAACAGGUAGGUGGCAAGUCUUUCUGUACACCAAUUGGUAUGGGGACAUUCCAAUUGGGGUCUUGUAUGCUGUCCGGUAUGCCCAGAGUGCAUCGGGUAACUUGUCUUUCCAUGUCGUUCCCAUUUCAUUUACUGUCUUCUGAAGAAUAUUCUUGAUUUGCUUGUUGGAAGUCUCUGCUUGGCCACUUGUCUGAGGAUGGUAGGGGGUAGCGACGUUGUGACGGAUUCCAUGUUUUGAUAGAUAUUGCUUGAAGCGUUUGUUGAUUAAGUGUGCUCCUCCAUGGGAUGAAGUGUGCCUCUACCCACUUGGAGACAUAGUCAACUUCCACCAAGAUGUACUCACACUUCUUUGAUGGGGGAAAUGGACCCAUGUAGUCUAUUCCCCAGACAUCAAAGAGCUCAAUCUGAAGGUUGUUGGUGAGUGGCAUGGCAUCCCUUGUGUUUAUGUUUUCGUGCCUUUGACAUGGCCCACAUCUUCUGAUAUAUUGCUUCGUGUCUUCAUACAUUGUAGGCUAGUAGAAUCCACACUGCCAGAUCUUUGAAUGUGUACGGAAUGCUCCAUAAUGACCUCCAUAUGGUGAUGAAUGACAUCUGUCGAUGAUCUUCCAUCCUUCCUCAGUGGUCACACAUCUCCUGAGUAAGCCAUCAGAACAUACUCAGAAGAGGUAUGGCUCAUCCCAUAUAUGUGAACGACUUUCUUGAAUAAGCUUCUUCUUGUUUGCUCCUGGUGGUACAUACCCUGAAACCAUAAAAUUAACAAUAUCUGCAUACCAGGGGUCAGACCUGUUAAUCCCGUAGAGCAUGUCGUCCCGGAGUGAAUCAUUGAUGGAGGUUUCCUGUGGACUCUUAAAAUACAUUCUAGACAAGUGAUCAGCAACAGAAUUUUCAACUCCCUUUUUAUCUUUUAUUUCUAAGUCAAAUUCUUGAAGUAAUAAGAUCCAUCUAAUCAGGUGAGGUUUAGCAUCUUUUUUUAGUGAGCAAAUAUUUUAGUGCAACAUGAUGAGUGUAAACAAUUAUUUUAGCUCCAACUAAAUAAGAUCUAAAUUUAUCAAUGGCAAAGACAACAGCCAGAAGCUCUUUUUCAGUGGUUGCAUAAUUAAGUUGAGCUCCUGUCAAAGUUUUACUGGCAUAAGCAAUUGCAUGAUGCUUCUUAUUUUUAGUUUGUCCCAAAACUGCCCCCACAGCAUAAUCACUAGCAUCACACAUAAUUUCAAAAGUCAACGACCAAUCAGGGGGUUGAAUGAUUGGUGUAGAGAUGAGUGCUUUCUUUAUUAAUAAAUUUAAAGAUGUUAGACAUGCAUCAUCAAAUUCAAAAGGAGCAUCCUUGGCUAGCAAAAGUGUAAGUGGUCUAGCAAUGAAUGAAAAAUCUUUUAUGAAUCUACGAUAAAAACUAGCAUGGCCACGAAAGCUUUGAAUUCCUUUUAUAUUCACAGGUGGAGGUAGUUGUUCAAUUACUUCAAUUUUAGCUUUGUCUACCUCAAUACCUCUUUCAGACACUAGGUGUCCCAACACUAUUCCUUCCCUAACCAUAAAAUGACAUUUUUCCCAAUUAAGGACUAAGUGCUUUUCUUCACAUCUUUGCAAAAUAUUGUCUAAAUUUUCAAGACAACUAUCAAAAGUUUUUCCAUAAACAGAGAAAUCAUCCAUGAAAACUUCCAUAAUCUCUUCAAUCAUACCAGAAAAUAUAGACAUCAUGCAUCUUUGAAAAGAAGCUGGUGCAUUACAUAACCCAAAAGACAUUCUACGGUAAGCAUAAGUUCCAUAUGGGCAUGUAAAAGUGGUUUUGCUUUGAUCAUCGGGAUGGAUCGGGAUUUGGUGAUACCGUGAAUAUCCUUCUAAGAAACAGAAGAACGAAUGGUUUGCUAAUCGCUCUAGCAUCUCAUCUAUGAAAGGUAAAGGAAAGUGAUCCUUUCUCGUGGCUUUGUUCAGUUUUCUAUAGUCUAUGCACAUCCGCCAUCCUGUGACGGUGCGUUGUGGAAUUAGCUCGUUCUUUUCAUUCAUAAUAACAUUCAUGCCUCCCUUUUUAGGCACAACUUGUACUGGGCUUACCCACUCACUGUGUGGCACAAGAUAUAUAAUCCCUGCAUGCAGCAACUUUAUAACUUACUUUUUAACUACCUCUCUCAUAGUGUUGUUAAGUCUAUGUUGGGGCUCUCGAGAAGGUGAAACAGAAGGAUCUGUUGGAAUACAAUGGGUACAAAUCGUAGGACUGAUUCCUGUAAGAUCUUGGAGUGAGUAGCCAAAAACUGAGUGAUGUUUCUCAAGAAUGGUCAUUAAUCGUAGAGUUUGCUCCUGAGUGAGUUUAUCACUAAUGAUCACAGGAAACUCUGGAUUAUUGUUUAGAAAAGCAUAGAUAAGACCGGAUGGUAAAGUUUUAAGCUCUAUGGGAGGUCUAGGUGUUUCUGCAAACUCAUCUAAGGGUUCAGGUUCAGAAGGUUCAGCUUCUUCUUCUGUGAAGAAAUGAGUUUCGUCUUCUAAGUCUGGUUUAUCUAAAAGCUCUAGAGAUGCAGCCUUUACCUCCUCCAUAGGAUCAGGCAAAAGAUAUGACUCGGCCUUAUUGUUUAAGGAGUGUGAAAUUGUUAUGGGAAAUUUAAAUGUUUUUCCAAAAGAAAUGUGUAGCUUUCCCGUAUGACCUUCAUAAAGGAGUCUUCUAAAAGGUUGUCCUAUCAACAGGUCGAAGUCCCAUGUAUCAAAGAUAUAGAAGUUCAAAUGAACAUUGAAGCCUUCUACCGUAAGAGGUAGGACAUUAAUAAUUCCAAGACUGGGGACUAAUCGUCCCGAAGAUUCCUUUAUGACCUUUGUUGUGGGGGUUAAGACAAGAUUUUUAAAUAAUUUAAGUGCAAAAGAUUCAGACAUGAUGUUGAUCCCCACAACAGGAUUAUAGAGAGCAUCAAAUUGAUCAGAAUCAUAGACACAGCGUAUAGUUAUAGAGGGUGUGUCCAAACGGAUCACAUCAGAGGAAAGCUCUGAUUCCUCCAACCAUUCGCUACUCAUGACUGCGAUAAGCUCCCUUAAUUGAUAUUCAGUUGGCAAACAAAUGCUAAAAUGGCCGUUUUGGGGUCUGUCUAUAGAAUGGUAGUUUGAAAUGUUUCCAAAAUCGGCAAAAAGAUCAGAUUCUAUAUCCAGCAUGAAGUCCGGUGGUGGAAUUUCUUCCUUUUGUGACUCAAAACUUGGGAUAGCUAAAGUAGAUGGAGAAUUUGGCAGAGUGUCUACUUCGACUUCGUGGGUUUCAUCAUGAAGGGUAUUAUCUAUCUCAGCUUCUUGGAUUCUAUCUAGGAUCACUCUAGCUUCAUCAGUAGGGAUGCGAAAGAAAGAACCUCUAGACAUUGUUUGUAGCAUUUGUUUAUGAUCUUUCUAAAGACCUCGAAAAAAGUGAAAUAAAAGAACAGGUUCUUCAAGAUUAAGGUUUGGACCUGAUUCUAAAAGAUCAGAAAAAUGUUUCCAGGAUUUUCCCAAAGUUUCAUUAUCUUUUUGUUUAAAAGAUAGGACUUCGAGUCUAAGGUCGCCGAUACGGUCGAGGGAAUAGAAAUCUAGACAAAAGUUGGCUCGUAAAACUCCCCAUUCACCUCGUUGUUGACUUACCUUCUGACUGCACCAUUGUCUAGCUUCUCCCCUUAAAGAAAAAGGAAAAAGCUUCCAACGUAAAGUUUUAUCAGAAAUGCCUUCAAUACGAAGACAAUCACAUGUUUGCUCAAAAUCUCUAAUAUGAAAGUAAGGGUUUUCGUCUUCCUUUCCCGAAAAAGAUAGGUUUUGAAUCAUGGCAAUCAACCUUUCCUGCCUAUGAAGAACCCUUUGCCGGCUGAUUGUUGGAACUUCUGGCCAGCUGAUCACUCCUUGGAUACUUGGCACCUCAGAACUGACAACCCAAGGUGGGGAAAUAAUGCUGAAGCUUCCUCCUCCUCGGGAUACAGGAGGCCUAGACUGCACCUACUCAGAGAAGGCGACUUUGCUGCGACAGGAACAAAGCUGUUUCAGGAUAAUCUAUCAACUAGCAAUAUUCUCUCCAGGGAAUGCAGGGAUAUAAUGUGUAUGACCAAGAUUAUGCUCUAGAACAAAUCAUGAGAAACAUACACCCAGGCAGAAACUCCACCAACUCGGCAAAUAUGAACAGAAUAACUGAGGCCAUGGGCUCUGUUCUACCGACUCUUGACAGUCAGAUGCUUGAAGAUUUCAUUGAUGCCGGUUACUCUGCUGAGGAAGUUGAAGCACUGAAGGCCAAUAUGGAAUCUUACUUCACACCCCACCCCACACAGUCACGUCCUUUUGAUGAUACUCCUAGCACAAAAAAGAAGAGGAAAGCAAAAUAUCAAACUCCCAUUGUGGAUGAUCAGGCAAGGAGGAGUGCCAGACUCAAAAAGAAUGAAGAAAUACAACAUUUUCAGCUUGACAGGGAGCCAAGAAGGAAGAAUGGAGAGGCCAAGAAGACUGUCUAUAUCUCCACUGUAGAAGACCUCAAGACUACUAUCAUCAAUAGAAGCCUAGAUUUUGAAAUGGUAGCCAAUGAAGUGGAGCCUAUCCCAAUUUUUACUCUGAUUGUUCUUGGCGUGUCCUUCUGUGGUGUCCCUCCUGGGGAGUUGACACCAAAUGUGCUCCAGCAGAUCUCUGAAGAGUGAAUUAAUGGAGAAACCUCAAGACCUUGCUGUCAAAUGGUGGCGGCACUGCUUUUAUUUUGCUUUUAAUAUUAGUAGUUGGUUCAGAUCUUUUGUCUCUGCUUUCUCGAUGACAAGAACUGUUUUUUGUCUCAAUGAUGGUUGUGCCUCAUUGUUUGUCGACAGACUCUUUUCAAUGGUUAUCAAUGAAUAGUCGUGCAUGGAAUUUAUUAUGUUGGAAUAUUCGCGGGGUGAAUGAUUCUGAUAAAUGGGAUCAUAUUAGAAAUAAAAUUGAGGAAAGUAAUGCCAACAUUUUCUGUCUUCAAGAAACCAAGAGGGAUUUUUUUGAUCUUAAAUUUAUUCGAAAAUUUGCGCCCAAGAGAUUUGACAAAUUUGAUUAUUGUCCCUCUGUUGGGGCUUCGGGUGGGAUCUUAGUCUUCUGGGUUUCUUCAUAUUUCAACAUUGUUACCCUUGAGAAGCAUCGUUUUGCCAUAAGGGCCUCUGUUACUUCAACCCAUGACCUUUGCCUCUGGACUCUUGUUGUAGUCUAUGGUCCUUGUCGUCAGCCAGCCAGAGAUCUCUUUGUAAACUGGCUUUAUAACCUAAGCAUUGGGGAUGACGACCUCUGGCUCAUUGUUGGGGAUUUCAAUUUCUAUAGGUCUGAUGAGAACAGGAAUAGACCGGGAGGUAAUUUCAAUGACUCAGUGAUUUUUAAUAAUAUCAUUAGUAGACUUGGCCUGAUUGAACUCCCGCUUAAAGGUAGAAGCUAUACUUGGAGCAAUAUGCAAGACACUCCCUUACUUGAGCAAAUAGAUUGGUUUUUCACUUCAGUUGCUUGGACCAACCAGUUCCCCUUUUCUUUGGUGCUCCCCCUGGCAAGAACCACCUCUGACCAUCUCCCUUGCAAGGUCCAGAUUGGCACAAACAUCCCCAAAGCUAAUAUCCUCAGGUCUGAAAACUUUUGGUUCAAUCAUCCAGGAUGCAUUGAACAGAUUUCCAAUGCUUGGAUCAUUCCAACAAGUUGUUCAAAUAGUGCUCAAGUUAUUAGCGCUAAGUUUAAGCUUCUCGGAAGAAUCCUAAAGCUCUAGGCCAAAAAAUUCUCUAACCUAGCUAAGCUGAUUGAAAACUGCAACCUCACCAUUGCUUUCUUUGAUAGACUGGAAGAGAUCAGGUGGCUUUCCAAUGCAGAAUUGGUUUUCAGAAUGAUGAUCAAAACCCAUUAUUGUAACCUUCUUGCUAUGCAGAAUACUUAUUGGAAGCAAAGGUACACUCAGAGAUUAGUCCAGUUUGGGGAUGAAAAUACAAAAUUUUUUCAUGCAAUGGCUUCUGAAAGAUUCAGAAGGAAUAUCAUUUGUCAGGUCAGCGAUGAGAGUGGAAGAACUGUUACUGAUCAUUCUGAAAAAAGUUCCCUUUUCUAUCAGGAAUACAGGAGAAGAUUGGGUUCCUCUGUAGGAAUCUCCAUGCAGUUUAAUCUUCAACAGAUUGUUCAGCCCUCCAGUGAUCUUGGCUCUUUAUGUCUUCCUUUCAGCAAGGAGGAGAUCAAUGAUAUCAUCCUCGAUCUCCCAAAUGAUAAGGCCCCGGGUCCUGAUGGGUUCAACAGCUUGUUCUUUAAGAAAGCUUGGCACAUUAUCAGAGAAGAUGUAUAUAGGCUAUGUACAGAUUUCUAUCAUCACAAGGCUGACCUCAAGAGCAUAAACUAUUCAUAUAUUACCCUUGUCCCAAAAAAGGAUAACCCUGAAACUGUGAACGACUUUAGGCCAAUUUCCCUCCUGAACUCUUCUCUCAAGAUUAUCACCAAGAUACUUGCUAAUAGACUACAGAAGAAAGCUUUGAAGGUUGUCCAUAGUAAUCAGUAUGGUUUUGUCAAAGGGAGAACCAUCCAAGACUGUAUUGGCUGGGCCUUUGAAUACUUACACCAGUGCCAUCACUCUAGAAGGGAAAUUGUCAUCCUAAAGCUUGAUUUUGAGAAAGCCUUUGAUCUGGUGGAACACAAAAUUGUUGUGGAAAUGCUAAGGGCUAAAGGCUUUCCUAGUAGAUGGAUCAUUUGGAUCAAGGAUAUCCUCUCUACUGCUACCUCUUCUGUCUUGCUUAAUGGAGUUGCUGGCAAGGAGUUCAAAUGCAAACGAGGGGUCAGGCAGGGUGAUCCUCUUUCACCUAUGCUGUUUGCUAUUGCGGCCGAUCUCCUUCAGUCUGUUAUUAAUCAUGAGAUGUCGCUUGGCAAUCUGCUCCCUCCUUUUCCUCAAGAUUCAGAUGUGCCUUUCCCUGUUGUCCAAUAUGCUGACGAUACCAUCAUAAUCAUGCAAGGUUGUGAGCAGCAAUUGCUACAUUUAUAAGGGAUUCUACAGCAGGUCACCCUGUCUAGUGGUCUAAAGGUCAACUUCCACAAAUCUUGCCUUCUUCCUAUCAAUAUGGACUCAGACAAAGCAACUCUCCUUGCCAACUCUUUUGGCUGUGUCGUUGGAGCCUACCCUUUCACGUACCUUGGGCUCCCAAUGGGACUUACUAAGCCUCAAGUGAAAGAUUAUGCCCCCCUGAUCUGCAGAAUUGAAAGAAGACUCUCUGCUAGUUCACAAUUCCUGUCUUAUGCUGGCCGGUUGCAGCUAGUUAAUUCUGUCAUUUUCUUGUUGCCUACUUACUACAUGUGUUCUCUGAAACUUCCAGUCACUAUCAUUGAGAUCAUUGACAAGCAUAGGAAGAAUUGUCUCUGGAGGGGCAGUGAAUUCAAAAGGAAGGGAUAUAACCUUGCUGCUUGGGAUCUGGUGCAAAGACCAAAGAGCAAAGGUGGACUGGGGGUAAUCAACCUAAGCCUGCAGAAUAAUGCCCUAUUGAUAAAACAUCUAGAUAAAUUCUACAGAAAAGAUGAAAUUCAAUGGUCAAGCUGAUUUGGAAAAAAUAUUAUGUAGAUAGUGUUCCUCAUCUUGCUAGAGAAAAAGGCUCAUUUUGGUGGAGGGACAUCUUGAGACUUAAUGUGCAGUUUAGAGGAGUGGCUUCUUGUUCUCCAGGAAGGGGAGAUACAAUUAGCUUCUGGGAAGAUAUUAUUAAUAGGCAGGUGGGUGCUGAGGUAUUCCCAAAUCUAUAUUCUUAUGCCAAUAACCCCAAAGUCUCUCUCUGGAAAUUGAGAAAUUCAGGAGAUCUAUUGCAUAAUUUUAGAAUCCCAAUGUCUAGACAAGCAUAUAAUGAGUUUCUGCUUUUACAAAAUGUUGUUUCUGGCCUGCCUCCAGUUUCACCUCAUGUCAGAGAUGUUUGGCACUUCAUUUGGGGAACUCAAAGCUAUUGUUCUCAUAGAUUCUAUCAGCAUCACUUCUCCUCAUUGCAGCCUCAAAGAUCAGUAGUUUGGAUUUGGAAAUCAAAAUGCCUUCCUAAGAUAAAAUUUUUUGGAUGGUUGCUGCUGAAUGACAGACUUAAUACUAGGAAUAUGCUGAGAUGGAGAAAUAAGUUCUUAGAGGAAGGAUACAACUGUGUCCUUUGUCAAAACCAUGUGGAAGAAACCUUAGAGCACCUGUUUUUUGACUGUCCUGCUUCCACUGCCAGAUGGUUUGCAAUUGGGAUUGCCUGGGAUGAUGCUCCCAGUCUGCAUGAAAGAAUUUAUAGGGCAAAGGAUGUUUUUCAAGGACCACUCUUCAUGGAAGUUUUCUUAAUUGCUGCAUGGUGUCUUUGGAAUGAAAGGAAUGGAGUUAUCUUCAAUAAAAAAGUUCCAAGUCUAGGAUCUUGGAAGGAUGCUUUCAAGGAAGAAACCAAACUGCUCCUAUACAGAAUCAAGUCGAGUCUCCAUCCUACGAUCCUCAGUUGGCUCAGUGCUCUGUAGUUUCUUAGUUGUCCUUUUUGCUUUUAGUUGGUUACAGUAGAAGAGUCUUAGAGUAGUUGCUUCCCUUCCCCUAGUCUUUGUUGCUAACCGCUGGUUGGUCUUCCCUCUUGUAAGUAUUCUCUGAACUACUCUGUUCAAUAUAUGUUGCCGGGGGGCUUUGCCCCACGGUUUUUGCUCAAAAAAAACCUAGAACUUAACCUAUACUGGGAUGUUUGGAUAGGCUGUGAUGACUCCCGUGGUAAAAGGUCAGUUACUAAAGGGAUUGCAGAUUCAUGGAUAGAUUUAGAUUCUUGGUUUCCAUAAGGUAAGAGUAAAGAAAAUAAAUAAAGAAUAUAAAAGAUAAGAAAAGGUAAAAGUAUAGAUACAAGAUAGUAGUAAGACUCAAGGUUAUCUCAGCAAACCGUCUUUCUCCCCGGCAACGGCGCCAGAAAUGCUUGUUGAUAUUUGGGAACGCAAUAAGGAAUUGAUCCGCAAGCGCAGGGAUAUCGGUGAGCACUUCACCCGGGAGGUUAUCCAGAGUAUCGUAUUUAUUUUUUUACUACUAGGAGAAAGAGUGCAUCUGACUAACCCGGUCUAUUACUACUAACCCUUAGGCUACAAAGAAUGUUUCUCGAUGUGAGUGAUAAAUAGAGAAGACUACAACCGUAAUCUCCUUCUAACCUUGGUAAGGAUGGUCUACUGUUCUAUUGGGGAGGCUAACAGAAUCUAGACACCACAGAGGAUGUUCAACCCGCACCUAUAAACCCUAUCCUUCCUGCUAACGAGAUAUGGUUUGCAAAGGUAACUCGGAAAUGUCACGUUCCUCGCUACUACCACGGUCUAGCUAGUCAGGGAAUAUCUAUGAGUAUCCUAGCCUAAACACCAUGUCUACGCUAGAGAUGAUUACUCUAAACUCUACGCGAAGAGAUUAAAGUAAACUCAUAAACCAAAGAACAAUAAAACAAGAACUUACUAGAAUUUAGAAGUCGAAAUACUGAAGAAUCCUAGGAGCAAGCUUCGGGUUAGGAGAACUUGAUCCCGUAGGUACAACCUCGGAGUAGACACCGACAGGCCGGGCUUCCUCCGAUCUACACCUACACUCUAUCUCUCUCAAUCUAGUAGAAACUAGAAGAUCUAAUUCUACUCACAUUGGAUGCUAAGCCUAAAAAGAAAUUUUAUUUAGAGCAGAGGUAUUCCUUCGAGGGCUCCUCUCAACUCUAUGAUGAACUUGUCUCCUCCAGGGGCCAGGGGGUAUGGUUUUAUAGUCCCCUCAAGUGAACGUGAGCCAUUGGAUCAAACCGACAUUGAUUGGACGGUUAUCCUUGAUCCUUUAGGUUGGUGGAGCGUUGUCCGCAAAAAGAGUUAUGAUUGGAAUCUAGGAGGGGGCGGGCGCCCUGGUCCUCAGGGCGGGUGCCCUAGGCCAGGCCCCUUUCGGCCUCCGCUUUGUUCCGUGGCUUCUGGAGUCUUCUAGAUGGUAGAAAAUUGCGUGGUGCGUUGAUAUCUCUAUGUAAUCCCGACAUGUGGGCCUUUCUUCCUUAUUUCCUGAUAACCUCCUGUAGAAACAGAUAAACAACAAAACUCGUGGAAUUCUGCCAUAUCAAACCCUAAUUCUAGGUGUUGUUUGCAUAUUGGUCCUUUCUCUUGUUUAUUUGAUAAUUAAAAUUGAUACUUAAGAACCGUCAACAUGCACCACCCCGCUACGCGGACAAUGACCAAGGGAGUUGGCAAGGGGUCAUGUGACCGAGGCUGUGGCCCCAUUGAGAUGGUGGCCAUAGCCACCUAUGGCCACCAGAAGCCGACUGCAUGGACUACCUAGGAGGCAGUGGGGCGUCGCAGCCCCUCAGUCAGAGGUGAUGUGCCCAGGCAAGAGCCGCUAUAUCUGGCCUAGAUAUAGUGAGGGAGAGGCCAUGGCCACCUGCCACCGCCGCCAUGGACCGCCGAGAAAGAAGUAGGAUGCAUCGCAACCAAAGGUCUACACCCGAGGUGGCGCUUGGGCAGCAACCGCCAUGUCUUGCCAACUAGGUGGCUUGUUGGAGCAGCUCAAGAGAAGGUGGUUAGAUGAAGGGAUGGAGAAAGGUUGGGGGAAGAAGGUGAAGAGAGGAGGCUACAAUGAUGGACUUGUUUGGGCCAUUGCAGGCCAUCGCUGCCACACGCCGGAGGAAGGGGCAGCACUAGGGCAGUGCCGGUGACACCCCUGAGUUGCCGGUUGGGAUGCUCGGGGGAAUAGUAGCAGCAUAGAGAUCAGAUUGAGAAGUCAUAAUUUCAGCCCUUAGUCUUAUUGAGUAUCCUCAUACUUCUAUGUAUCAAAAUAUCAUUUUCCAGAGGACACUGGAAAGAAGGAAGUAGAUUCAAAACAUAGAGAGGUUAUUAUCCACCUGCUAGCAUUUAUAAGCAAAGGAAGUGUGAAGACUGGUGAUGCCUCUAACAAGAACUCAUCAUUUUUAGGGUAUAAUGUGAAUAUGGAUCAAACACGAGACAUAGAUUUUACAUGGAAAACCCUUGCAAGAAAAACCAUGGGCACGAACCGGCGAUCUUCACUAUAUGAUGAGAGUUUACAAAAUGCAUGAAAUACAGUCAAUUAUGUCUCUCAACUAUUCAAAUAGGGCUUACAAGAUGUAUUUAUAGGACGGAAUGACAAUAGUCAAAUAUGAAAACAAAUCCGCUAAUAAACAUAAUCCCAACUGCAAGCCCUCCACACGUCCCUGCACGACUCAUGUUCUAAUUUGGAUCAUAUUCCAACAAACUCCAUCUAGCAACAAAUUUCAUCUUGCAGCAAAUGAAGUAUCAUCAAUCAACUAACUUAAUAAUAAAUAAUCACUUAUGCCAAAAGUCACUAGGACUCGAACUUUAUUGUCAACUAAGCCUGAGCAUAGCUUAAAUUUAGCUGGAGGCACUAGCUUCAUCAACAUAUCAGCAGGAUUAUUAUGAGUACUUAUCUGGCAUACCAUGACAUCACCUUCAACAAUAACACCUCAAAUAAAAUGAUAUCUCACAUCAGUGCUUGGUCCUUUCAUGAAAUAUCUGAUCCUUAGUCAAACAAAUAGCACUCUGGCUAUGACAAUGUAUAGUAGUUUAAGAAGUAAUCCCAAAAAGUAAAGAGUAUAAACCUCUGAAACAAAUACCUUCUUUUCAAGCUUUAGAAAUAGCAAUAUAUUUAGCUUCUGAUUUAGACAAAGCAACAGAAGCCUAAAAACAUGCUUUCAAGCUAACAACAACAUCCACCAAUUAUAAAAACAUAACUGAUGAGAGAUCUUGUCUUAUCUAAAUCACUGGCAUAAUCAGAGUCAACAUAACCAAUAAUCCCAUCUCUAGAUUUUCCAAACUGUAAACAGCCAUUAGAAGUACCUCACAAAUAUAUGAAAUCCAGUGAACAGCUCUUCAAUCCUUCUUACUAGGAUUAGCCAUGAAUCUACUAACAACACACAAUGCAUGAGAUAAAUUAGGAUGAGAACAAAUCAUGGCAUACAUGAGAGAAUCAACUACACUAGAAUAUGAACCUCUACAUAUGUACUUAAUUUCAUCAUCUGACUCUAGACAUAAAUCUGAGGAUAAUCUCAAAUGUGCAGCUAAUUGAGUACUCACUAGUUUUGUAUUAUGCAUAUUGAAACAAUGAAGAACCUUAUGAAUAUAACCUCGGUAACUAAGUAUAAUUUACUAGCUUUUCUAUCUCUAUAAUUUCCAUGCCAAGAAUUUUUUUUAGCUGCACCUAUGGCCUUCAUCUCAAAUUCUUUAUGCAAUUGUGCCUUCAAUUUAGCUAUUUCUAAUUUAUCUUUUGCAGCAAUCAACAUAUCAUCAACAUAAAGAAGCAAAUAAAUAAAUAAGCCAUUAACAAUCUUCAGAUAAACAUAGCUAUCAUAAUCUGACUUCUUAAGACAAUGCGAGAGGAUAAAUGGGUGAAACCUCUUGUACCAUUUCCCAGGGGAUUGCUUGAAACCAUAAAGCAACUUCUUUAGUCUACAAACAAGGUUUUCUUUUCCAGAAUAACAAAACCUUUAGGUUGGUUCAUAUAAUGUCUUCAUUUAACUCUCCAUGUAAGAAUGCAAUUCAACACCUAGAUGCUCAAGUUCAUAAUCAUGAAUGACAAUAAUACUAAGCAAAGUGUGAAUAGAACUAUGCUUAACAACUCGAGAAAAGACAUCAUUAUAAUCAAUACCUGAAAUCUGGUUAUAGCCUUUAGCAACCUACCUUGCUUUAUACCUUUUUAGAUUAUGAGGAGAAAUACCCUCCUUUCUUUUAAAAUCCAUUUGCAAUGGACAGGCUUCUAUUCUUAGGCAAUUUCACUAAAUCUUAAGUAACAUUCUUUUCAAACGACUCCAUAUCAUCUUGCAUAGUGGUCAUCCAAUUGUUGCAGUCAGCAGAAGUAAUAGCCUCAGAAUAAGUAGAAGGUUCUGAAUUACAUUCAAUCUCUUUUGUAAUAGUCAUAUCAUAAGAAACAUUGCAUUCUUUUAUAUACCUUUUAAUAGGCUUACGCUGCCUUCUGGCCCUAUCAAUAGUAAAAAAUGUUGUGGAGACUGGAGAACUGCAGAAGAAUGCUCAACGAUAGAAGAAUCAUCAAUAAUUGGAGAAAUUUAAGCUAUAGGUGUAUAUUUGACAAAAGCAUUAUCAACAUUUGGUGCAUCAAUUAAGUGCUCCACCUGCACACUUAUUUUAUCUCCCUCAAUAGUAGCAUCACUAGAUAGGUUGACAUAAAACAUAGUAGAUUCAUUAAAGAUAGCAUUCCUGCUAAGCAUAGCCUUUCGAGUCUAUGGAUUCUACAAUUUAUCACCUUUAAUACGAGCUUGAUAACCAAGAAAAUUACAUUUAGAAGCUCUAGCCUCUAAUUUAGUAUUAUCAAUGUGAGCAUAAGCAGUACAACUAAAAACUCUCAGUUGUGAAUAAUCAGCUUGAGAACCAGACCAUACCUCAAUUGGAGUUUUCUUACCAAGAGUAAUGGAGGGUGAACGAUUAAUAAGAUAACAUGUAGUGGAAGCAGCUUCAGCCCAAAAAUACCUAUUCAAACCCAAAUUAGAUAACAUGCAAUGGGUCUUGGAGAUGAUAGUUCAAUUCUAACACUCAGCUACACCAUUCUGUUGAGGUGUAUAAGGAAUAGUGCAGUGCCUAACAAUACCUUGAGACUUGCAAUAUGCUUUAAAUUGAUUAGAAUAGAGUUCCAUCCCAUUAUCAGUGAGAUGCUUUUAACCUUCUUCUCGGUUUGAUUUUUGUCACACCCAUAUUUUAAGCAAAAUAUAGGAUGCAUAAAAGACUCAUAUGUGCCCCAGAAACAGUCGCACACAUAAGUAGACAAAUCUCAAAUGUACCAUUGCAGUGUUUAUUACAUAGCGGAAUAUAAUAUAUCACAUAGUCUCAUACAAAAAUGAUAGCAUAAAGUAAACAACGCUCUCGACGGAAGCUCCACACAGGGACAACAUUGAUUGGUUGACUCCAAGCCUAGUACUCAUAAUGGUAAUCCUCAUUCCAGUCAUCUUCAUUAUCAUAUCCUAAGGUGUUGGGAAAUUGCAAGAGUGAGCACAUAUCGUACUCAACAAGUAUAACCAGGGGUUCAUGAGGCUCAAAUAGCUGACACUGGUUCGACUGCAUUUAGCUUUUAGUAGUUGAUAGCAUGUUCAAUCAUUGGAUAGCAAAUAUCAAGGUAGCAUAAAUAAUCCCAUAACCACAUGAUCAAUGUAUACAAGAAUUAAGAAUAACACAUAUAAACAACAUAAUAAACCAUCAUUUAUCUUCAUUAAUCAUGUUCAUCAGUGUCCAUCUAUUCCGUCAGUUUUCCGGGCCGCCCGUAUCUGUGGGCACGGCUAGUAUACCAGAUUUAACACUCUGCAGAGGUUGUACAUCUUUACCCAUGAGUCGUGAUUUACCCUUUUGCCCGAGGUUGCAAGUCUCUUAACCCCCUUCCUAGGGAGGUCGGCAGGGAUCACUAUGAAGCCUUUCAAAAGUUUUGUCUAACAAGUUAGUGCCAUUAGAUUCACUCGGCAGGCAGAUAUAGAGCCCCCUCCCAUGGCACAUAACACGCAGCCUAUACACACGGACAGAGGCCACACUAUACCCAACGUGUCUAGCCAUUCCUACGCCAUUUAAGGUAACUGCUAACAAGCUAGAAAAAGGUCCUCAUACUGAGCUAAAACCAGAGCCAUGUAGCCCUCAUGGUUGUAUGAGUUGUCCCAGCUUUUGCCAAGGGAUAAGUCCUUAUGGAGGGUCAAGAUCAAUCUAGCAAAAGCCAGAGUUCUUUCCACCCUUUUAUAUUCAAGUUGCUAGAAAGCUCAUUUUAUUGUUUAUUGUAUAUCCAAACAUUCAUGUUACAAGAUCAUGGAUUAUAUUCAAGCACUAGCAAGAACUACCCAAAUGCAUAUCCAAAAUAGGUAACAAGGAAUUCAGGAUAACAAACAUCUAUGAUUUUGCUAAGGUCAUCAAGGUGGACACAUGCAUAUGAUAAAUAUUGUAUUAAUUGUGUAUAGGUAACAAGGAUAAUCCCCAGUUAUACUUGCCUUGAUCAAAGCUCUCCUGAGCCUGCUGGUCUUCAAAGUCUUGGUCUUGCUCACCAACGUACGGCUCACCGUCUAAUCCCGAUCAUCAAUCAACAACACGCAAUUCAAUGUAGACAAUCAUACACGAAGCAAACAAGCUAUUAUUAGAACAAUACACCAAACAGUAGUAAAACAAAUAUAAAAGUUUAUCAAAUUAUUCUACGCAGCGCUACGAUCACACAAACAAAAAGUUCACGAAAAUCGGAAUUAAACGUGGAAGUUAUGGAUUUUCUAAGAUUCCCUAUAGAUAAAUAAUUAAUUAAAUGCUACUGCGAAAAUAAAAAGUUUCAAAACAGAAAAAUAAUACUUCUAACAUGUAGAUCUUGUGAUUACAAAUCUAACGCAAUUUGAAUGGAUUAAAUCGGAUUUAAAAUGAGCAUUUUAUGAGCAAAAUAAGUUCAAUGGCAAAACUGUAAAUAGCAGAAAAUGUAUUUUCCUUCAACCAGCCAAGAAUACGUUUUUAAACUCAGGAAACGUAUUUGUUUUCUGGCGCCAAGGACUGCGGGUUCAAUUAUCAAGAAUUCUAGGGUCUCUUUAAGAAAACGGUCGGGCGAAGGGGUAUCCUUCUUUUUCGGCCGUAAGAUCGCGAUGGAACGGUGCAGAUCAGAUCUGGGGAGAGAGGGAGGGCGGGGCGGCGGCGCGCCAUUAUCGCCAAUGAAGAACUCACCGGAGUUCAUGAGUAGAGUGGAGAGCGCUAGGGAACACGGGGAAGGCAUCAAGGGGUGGAGAAGCUCACCGCGAACUCGACUAGAGAGUUCUUUCGGGCCGAAAGCACGUGGAGAAGUCGUGCCACGGUAGCGGCUUGUGAAGUUCGUCGGUGAGAUCCAAAACACGGUGUCGGCCGCAACCAGGGCUCUCUGGCCUCCCAGAUGAGGAAAAACGGGGUGCGGGGAUGAUCCUCAGGGUUUAAAAGGGCUCGGUUCAGCAAAUUUGGUAGGGGAUCCUGGGCAAAUCGGGACUUUAGCUCCCGAUCGGUGUCCUGCUUGAAGACGUCGCGAGAAAGAAGGAAGGAAGGGGAGGAAUGUCGCUGACAUGCGGGGCCUGGCUGGCAGUGAGAGGAAGAGAGAAAGGAGAGGGGGAAAGGCGCUGCUCUGCUGGGCUGGUCAUUGGGCCGAGGGAGAAGAGUGGGCCGCGGGGGGGGGGGGGGAAGAAGGGGGAGCCGGUUGGGCCAGAAUUAGAGAGGGGGAAAGGGUUUUGUCUUUUUUUUUCUAUUUCCCUUUCAUUUAUUCCAAAGCCAUUUUCAAAACUAUUUUAAAAAAAAUCACUUUGAAUUAUUUUUGAACUUUAGUAGAACCAAUCAUCUCAAUAAAUCAUAUGCACGAGCAUGAAGACACAAGCAUGUUACUAAUCCUAUGAUAAGUUUUAUUUUAACAAAAAGUAUUAUUUUUCUAUGUUUCAUGAGCACAAAAAUACAAAAUUAAAUCAUUUUUCACCUAUUUCAAAAGUUGCAAAUUUUUGGGUGUUACAAUUUUCAAUCAAAAUCUUACACUCUUUAAAUACAAAAAAUGCUUCUGAUUUAUGCUUAAAGAAAUAAGGCCAUACCCUAUGAGUAUAAUCAUCAAUGAUUGUCAAUAUAUAACGAGAAUCACCAAUGGAAAGUGUGCAAUAUGGUCUCCAUAAAUCAAAAUACACAUAAUAAGGAAUUCCUUUACUUUUAUGAGUAGAGGUUGUAAAGGACACCCUCUUGUGUUUUCCAAACACACAAUGCUCACAAAACGUUAACUUACUAAUGUUAUAUUCAUCAUAAGUCCUCUCUUGCACAAUUCAUGCAAGCCUUGCUCACUCAUAUGUCAAAAACACAUAUGCCAAAGAUUAGGAGCAUCAGAAUUAGAUGUUGAAUUAAAAAUUACAGCAGCACCACCUGUAAUUGUAGGACCACAAAGACAUUAUAAAUUUGGAGAUUUCAAUUCACCUUUCAUCAUAAUAAGAGAUCCUUUUGACACCUUUAAAACUCUAUCUCCACCGGAGUACUUGUACCCUUUACUAUCAAGAGUACUAAGAGAAAUAAGAUUCUUGCUCAUUUCUGAAAUAUGCCUCAUGUUAAUCAAACUUCUGAGAAUGCCAUCAUGCAUCGUAAUUUGAACAGAUCCAAUGCCAACAAUAUCAAGAAGAUAGUCAUCACCUAAUUUAACAAAACCUCCACCUUGAAGAAUUAUAGGUGACAAACCAAUCUCUAUGUAUGCACAUACGAAAUGAAACAGUGGAAUCAAGAAUCCAUUCAUUAGCAUUAUUUGCACAUCCAGCAAAAGCAACAAGCAAAAUGAACUUAUCUGGCUUAUAAGCAGUAGCAGAAGCAUUACCUUCAUCAUUACAAUUAUCAUUUCCCCUGUAUGUGUUAGUUCUCUUCUCUUUAUUCUUCAAUUUAUAACAUUCACUGAUAAAGUGACUAUCUUUCUUGCAAUACAUGCAAAAUUUAUUUUCCUUGGAGCGGGAUUUUGAAUGACCUUAAUAGCAAUUGGAACAUUUGUCUCUAUUAACAUUAAGUUUAUUUUUUAUCCUCGCACGAACAUAUAAUGCCUCUCCAUUGGGAGCAUAACCUUCAGAAGACACCAUCUAUUUCAUCUUUUCUUGGCAUUCAACGCCUCAAAAACCUCAUCAAGCAUUGGAAUAUCAUGACUAUAUAAUAAUGUAUCUCUAAAGUUUGCAAAAGUACUAGGCAAAGGGCACAAAAGAAUAAGACCCAAAUCCUCAUCAUCAUGAUCUACCUACAUAGCCUUUAGAUCUGAAAUGAUCUCCUUAAAGACCGAAAGAUGGUUAAGCACGGAACCACCAUCCUGCAACUUCUGAAUGCAUCUUGCUUAGCAAAUCCUUAGACACACAAAUUGACUCUAACUUGAGUUGUAAAGCAGCUGCAGUAUUUCCUAUAAACAAUCUUGUAAAAUAUUAUUUGAAAGAUGAAGCUGAAUUUGAGUCAACACCCUAUGAUCUCUUAUUUUCUCAUCUUUGGUUCAAGACUUUAAUUCCUUAUUACCAAAUUUUUCAAGAGCAUCAUCUAUUUCAGCAUGCGUAAGCAUAGCCUUAUAAUAACUUAACAAAGAGCAAACCUUGUGUCGUGAUCCAGUUGAGGAAUAUCAUACUUCAUCGAAGACAUGGUGAAGAAAUAAUAGCAAUAACUAGAAAAAAUGAAUUAGAGAAAAUAAGGUACACUUUGUGUGCACAAAACAAUAAAUCAGUAGCCUGGUACACUAGCUGUGUACAAUUAGCACAUACUCCCUCCGUCCACAAAAGAAUAAAUUCCUAGAAUCCGUGUGAGUUAAACUUUUUUAAGUUUGACUAAAUUUAUAAAAAAGAGUAACAACAUCUAUGACAUAAAAUGUGCAUCAUAUAAAAGAAUAUUCUAUGAUAAAUCUAAUGAUACUAAUUUGAUACCAUAAAUCUUAACAUUUUUUCUAGAAAUUUGGUCAAAGUUUAAUAGUUUGACUUAGGACAACUCUAAAUAUUGAUUAUUUUGUGAACGGAUGGAGUAACUACCAAAGAAAACUCUCCUGGUAGCCUUCACAUGUACACUUGGCAUAACUUUCACCAAAAGUGAUCUCUUCAUCAGAGCAGGCUCUAAGGGAGGGGCAGGCAGUGCGACUAGAGCUCAUGGAGCUUGGGGGGCCAAGACCAUAUAGCCAAUUAGUACACAUAAUUUUCUGUUUGGCAUAAUAAGUAGUUGAAGGUCCACGAUGAAUCAACCAAAGCCAUAGAUAACUCUUCCUUCUAGUCCUAUUCUAUGUAACGAUAGAGACAGAGGACAACAAACACACACGUCACAGUAAGCAACACACCAACAACCUUGAUCGAUUAGUAUUUUCCAUUUUUUUCUUAUUUGUUUUGUAUAUGUGCUAUGCUUGUGUGGUGCUGUGGCCUAGGAAUAUAAAUUUAUAAUUUAAUGUAUCUAUCUAAAUAUAUUAGUUGUUGCCUAAGAAGCAUUUGUGCGGAACUCAAAAAAGAAAAGAAAAAGAAAACAAGGAGAACAGAGUAUUAUUAUGUUUUAUGAACAAUACAUAUAUUACAAAGUAAUUUUUAUUAUCCAUACUAUAUAAAGUAAUUUUGAUAUUAGAAGUUUCAAUUGAUUCAGAUAGACUUUUAAUCAAAAAAUUUAGUUGAACAAACCUUUAUCUUCUUACUUGUCCAAGAGACCUUAAAACUAUAGAGCCAGCCUUAGGCCAGUCUCAAUAGGAGUUUCAUAUGAGUUUCAUUUGCAUUAAAUAGUUUGCCACAUAAGCUUUUUUGAUGACAUGGCGGUGUAUUCAAUAAGAGAGAGAAUAAAUGAGUUUUAUAUAGAUGAAACUCUCUUGGCACGAUUACCAACUCUCUAUGAGUCUUGGAGUUAAAUGCCUAUGAAACUAUGAAAUGAAACUCUCCAUUGAGAGUGGGUGUUUCAUCCAAAUUUCAUUUCAUUUCAUACGACAUGGCAAUCUUGAAAACAACGUCAUGAAACUCUCCACUAAGACUGGCCUUAGUAGUAGUGCAACAAGCAAGGACCUACAACUUGGUGACAUCGGGUCACGUGCGUCCCAAUGGAAAAUUCACCACGGCAGCGCGGCUUCGAUCCACGUGCGCAACAACAAUUCACCAGUUCAAGCACAGGACCCGUACACUGCAAUCUGAGGUCUUGUUUAGUUCACCCAAAAAUCAAAAACUUUUUAAGAUUCUAUGUCACAUUAAAUCUUGCGGCAUAUGCAUGAAACAUUAAAUAUAGACAAAAACAAAAACUAAUUGCACAGUUUAUAUGUAAAUCGCUAGAUGAAUCUUUUGAAUCAAGUUAGUCUAUGAUUGGAUAAUAAUUGUCAAAUGAAAACGAAAGUGCUACACUACCUAAAACAAAAAAAAAACAAAACUAAACAAGGCCUCAAUUCAUCUGCGCGAGAGUAAGGCCUUGUUUAGUUCGUGGGAAAAACUUUUGUGGGUACUAUAUCAUUUUCGUUUGUAUUUGUUAAUUAUUAUCAAACCAUUGACUAACUAGUCUUAAAAGUUUUGCCUCGCAAAUUACAAGCAAAUUGUGCAAUUAGUUAUUUUUAUCUAUAUUUCAUGGUCCACACAUAUGCCGUAAGAUUCGAUAUAAUGGAAAAUCUUAAAAAGAAUUUAGAUUUUCAGUGCAACUAAACAAGGGCUGAAAUUUUCUCUCAAUGCGAGGAAACGCAGCAGCAAAGAACACGGCAGUAGCAUAAUAUUAUCGUUUUUUUUGGCAAUUAGUGUCGAAUCAUGGAUUAAUUAAGCUUAUAAUAUUUAUCUCGCAAAAACUUUUCAAGAUUUCACUGGAUGAUGUUCCUAACUGUUACUAGUUAUAAGCAGAUGACCCAAAAAUCAUGUCUGCUACAAAGGAGUCAUAGUGCAGCGUGCAGAGUACUAGUUUAUGGUAGACUAUUGUGUAACACCCAAAAUUUGAUGUCCAAUUAAUAGGAUUUAAUUUGAAUUUUUUAAGUAUUUUUGUGAGCAUUUAAAUUAGUAAAGAAAUAAAUUUUGUUGAAAUUAAAAUCCAACAUAAAGAUAGAAACUUGUUUAUGCAUUCAUGCAGGAGCACCUUUAAUUUUGUGUUGUUGAAUUUUGGUUAGAAUUUAAUUGCAUUCAAAAUUCCUUUUGGAAAAGGCUUUAGAAAAGAAAAAAAAGAGCAAAACACUAGCCCUGAUCUCGGCCAGGGCCACUGGCCGAGGCCCAGCAUUCCCCCCCCCCCCCCCCCGCGGCCAAGCAUUCCCUCCCCAUCGCUCGGCCCAGCAAGCGACCCGUAGGCUAGCCGCGCGCUGACCUCCCCCUCUCUCUCUGGUUGGCUGACGUUCGGGCCCCACCUUUCUCUCUCACCGACAGCUCGGGCCCGCGUGGCAGCGCCCUAUUCAUCUUCCCCGCAUCGUCACCGAGCUGGACUCGGCCGAGGAACAAUCUCGCCCGGAACAAUCUCGGCCGGGGAAUAUAUCGCGUCUUGUGGUUGGUCGCCAUAAGUUUGUAACUGGCAUCGAACGGUCGGUCGCUAUAUGGUUAAGGCAUCGUCCAACGGUCGGUCGCUAUAUGUGUGGUCGGUCGCUAUAACUUAUACCGACGCCACUUAUAGAGACCGUUCAAGUCGAUCGCUAUAUGUUUAUAGCGACCGUCCGUAGGCCGCUAAACUGACUUAUAGCGACCAACCGUAGGCCGCUGUAGACAGGUUGUGGUAUAGUGCGGGAUAACAUUGCAACCAUGAGGGCUAUAAUGGCUCUGGCUUUAGCUCAGUAUGAAGACCUUUUCUAGCCUGUUAGCGGUUACGCGAAAGGGCGCUAGAGGGGCUUGUCGUUUUGGGUAUAGUGCGGCCUAUGUCUUUAUGUGUACAGGCUGCGAGUCAUUGUGGCAUUGGAAUGGGGGCUCUAUAUCUGCACGCCCGGGAAACCUUGUGGCCUUAACAUGUUAGAAGAACUUUUGAAAGGGUUCAUAGUGAUCCCUGCCGACCUCCCUAGGAAGGGGGUUAAGAGACUAGCUACCUCGGGCGAAAGGGUAAAUCAUGACUCAUGGGUAAAGAUGUACAACCUCUGCAGAUUGUUAAAAACUAGUAUACUAGCUGAGCUCACGGUCAGGAGCGACCUUAGGGACAUCUACAUUAAGAUGAUGAGCUUGUUAUGUUAUUAUGUUCAUUUGAUUAUCGUUUAUGCUAUGAGUUAAUUAUGCUUACAUUUGAUCAUGUGAUUAUUGGAUUAUUUAUGCUACCUUGACACUUGAUAUUUAAUUAUAAACAUGCUAUCUACAAUUAAAAGCUCAAUGCAGUUAAACCAGUGUCAGCUAUUCGAGCCUUAUGAACCCUGGUUAUACUUGUUGAGUAACGAUAUGUGCUCUUACAAUUUCCCAACACCCCAGCUUAUGCAAAUGAUAAUGAUUGGAUUGAGGACUAUCGAUAUGAGUAUUAGGUUUGAAGUCAACCAGUCAAUGUUUAUCCCUAUGUGAAGCUUCCGUUGAAAGAGUUAUUUAUUCUUAUUUAUCAUUAUUAUAAAAGACUAUGUGGUUAUUAUUGUUCCGCUAUGUAAUAGGCAUUGCAAUGAUACUCUUGAGAUUUGUCUACUUAUGUGUGCGACUAUUUCUGGGGCACAUAUGAGUCUUUUAUGCAUCCUAUUUUGUUCUUGAAAUAUGGGUGUGACAAAUUGGUAUCAAAGCUUUGUUGACUGUCAGACGCAAGGGUAGUUAGAAAUUGGCUAUCUUAAGGUUUUGAAAUUUCCAUGAAAUCCUUCUUCUAUAAACCUUGAUACUUUUCUCUACACUAUAUCCUUUUUAUUGCUAUUCAUCUUGACCUUGUUGCUUAUUUCAAAGACUUGUUCUCAUCCCCACUCCUUGACUUUGAUAUGCUUUUAGAAAUUCUUCUUACCACCUUCUGGCGUCAUUGAAAUAGGAGUUUUAGGAUCUUUACCUUUAAUAGGAAGAGAACGAUAGUACCGCAAGUGGAGUCAAUGCUUGAAGUGUGAACCUUUGAUGUUUGGUUUGGUUGUUAUUAUACUCAUGCUUGAUUUGGAUCUUUGUAAUGAGCGUAAUGAUCUUGUGGAUUCUCUAUUUCAUUUAUUUUAUAGGCCUAAGGUAUAAAGAUUAAUGAACUAAAUAGUUGGAUAUGGUUAAAAUUCUGUUUCUGUCUCUCGCUGAUUUCUGGAGCAGUCUGCAA